This 49738-nucleotide long non-coding RNA is filed under the name Vitis vinifera (wine grape). RNAcentral's name for it is "long non-coding RNA (VVIN_LNC001617)". The record is from RNAcentral. Lineage: Eukaryota; Viridiplantae; Streptophyta; Magnoliopsida; Vitales; Vitaceae.
CCAGGAGAAGACGUGGGAAACUUUCUUCGUCAAAGCAUAUCCAGUGGUUGCUUCCUAGUACUGCUCGUGCUUGAUCUUGAAAAUGUCUUCAGACCUAAGUUACCUGAGGCAAUUGGCAAACUAACUCGACUAAGGUACUUUGGCUUAAGAUCUACAUUUCUCGAGAUACUCCCAUCAUCUAUAAGCAAGUUGCAGAAUGUUCAAACACUGGACAUGAAGCAUACUAGCAUCAACACUCUGCCUGAUUCAAUCUGGAAGCUACAACAACUGCGGCACUUAUACUUGAGUGAGAGCUACCGAAGUAAACUUAUGCUUGGACAGGGUACAAAUUUUCCUACAAUCCUCCAGACAUUGUGUGGGAUAUUUUUAGAUGAGGAGACCCCGGUAAGAGAUGGCCUAGACAGGUUACUCAAUAUUAGGAAAUUGGGAUUAACAAUGUCAUCUAAACAAGAGGCAAUGUCAUUUCAACUGCAGGCAGUAGUUGACUGGGUUCUGAAACUGAACCAACUCCGGUCUUUAAGGCUCAAAUCUAUUGAUCAAAACAAUCAGCCAUGGGAUCUAGAAUUGAAGCCUUUAGUAAGCCUUGUGAAUCUUUCUUACAUUUACUUGCUCGGAUGGUUAAGGAAUCCAUCUGUUAUGUCCCAAUUCCCAUACAGCCUCAUCGACCUCACCUUAUCAGCUUCAGGACUUGUAGAAGAUCCAAUGCGGUUAUUGGAUAAGCUUCCCAAUCUUAGAAGUCUUAAAUUGCUUGCCAAAUCUUAUUUAGGGAAAAGCAUGCUUUGCUCUUUUGGAAGCUUUCCUCAGCUUCGAGUUCUUAAACUAUGGAAGUUAGAGCAACUGGAGGAAUUAAAUGUAGAGAAAGGAGCACUACAAGCUCUCCGAGAUUUGGAGAUUAGGUUCUGCAGAAGUCUGAAAAUUCUUCCUGCAGAAUUGCUGCAUAGAACUCUCUUGAAAAUUGAAGUUAUACCUGCCCAGUAAGUUCACUACUGGUCUCUUGAAAAUUGGUUUAUAACCUGCUUAACAUGAGAUGAUUUCGUAAUGUAACCAACAACCUAAUACACCAUUGUGUUUUUCCCUUUUUUGUUUUGUUUGAUUAGGGCGUGAGAAGGUAUGCGAGAAGGUUCUGGUCUACUUCGUGUUGGGCUUUGCUUUCCAUUUCAAUGUUUUUGCUAUUGGAGCAGAUAUUCAAAUACUCAUGAGGGCAGUUCUCAGUUGCAACAAUUUAUAGAGCUCAUUUCGAAUUGGGUUUCCAUCCCUUCUGCUCAUUAUUUUGUUCUACCAUUGAUGAUAAGUUAUUGUCUAUCAAACCUUAAAUGUAUACUGUAGUGUACUUGUUAGUAGAUUCUGUAACUUGUGUGUGUGAACUCUAGAAUCAGGGCAUCAUGAACACAAUGGUGUUGUGGGUGUGAAUGUUAUAGAAUUUUGCUUUGUGAUUGUAUUUGGAUUGAAUAGAAUAGUUUCUUCUUUCAGUUGAUGAUGUUUAUUGGAUAGAAUUUAACUAGUCUGCUGGUAUGCAUAUAUGGAGAAAAUAACAUAUAUCACUAUUCUCUUCUUGCCUAGAUGGGCGAAGGAGAGUGAGAUUAAUCCUCCACCUUCGCUAGAAAUCAUAAUACUAAUAUGUUAAUAGUUUUGAAUACUCCUAUUUGUAGCUUAUUUUUGUAAGUGCAUUGGGUUCAAAGUCUUGAAAUAAGUUAUAUUAAUAUAUCAAAUUAAUGCAUCCUGCUGCUAACAAGCUCAGAUCAGAACCUACCAUCACCUGCAUGGCUGCUUACAUGCUCUGCCCAAUCCACUGGCUUACACCUUCUUUUUUUCCUUUUCAAUUAAGAUGAUUUGGGAGUUAGACCAUGCCAUAUAAUUGUGGAGCUUUUGUUAUAACACCCAUUUGAAAUGGGAUUCAUCCACCUAAAGCUCUUCAACUCCAACCAAAGCUGCUGGUUAUUGAAGGAGAAGAACGGAGAGUUUCACCAACAAGCUCCAUCCAGUGCUAACUGACAUGCGAUAUCUAUCUCUGUCCUGCUUCCUCAACUUUAACCUGUUACAUUCCACCUGCUUCUUCUACUUUUGGUAUGGUCAGUGUGGAUUCUGGAAAUGAACAGCAGAGCAGAGGUUACACCCAAGUGAGACCUUCGGUUUUGGAACCAUAAGUUUAGCUUGUGAUUUGUGUGUUUGAAACAGGGCAAUAAAAAUGCAGUUACUAGAAUGCCAGCAAAAUUUAAGGCCUAAAUUCAUGGCUAAGUAUUGGUGGGAAAGCAUUGAGCUAUAAGAUGUCACUGGGGAACAGUGAUAUAACUGGCAACUGUAAUAGGUCAUUAAUAUAGUGGCAGGAAGCAGACUUUCCUGCACUGCAUGCAUUCUGCAUGAGGCCUACUACUUUUUCAGCACUUUCAAGCACUUAAUUGAUGCUCUCCUUCAUUCUUUUCCAGAAUAUGCCUUGGGAGUUUUUUCAAGAGAGGAAGUACAUAACAGUUGGAAACCAAGCUGCACAACAUUAGAAGUGAAAGAAGAUAGAACAAGUCAGGGAUUUUUUAUGGCUGCAGGAUGGCUAGAGACAGAGGAUCAUUGGUAGUGUGCGCAGAAAUGGGAGAUGAUGAGUCAUGUGUUUGUGGAGAAGCUAUCUUAUUCUGUAAGACAGGGUUGACCGGAUCAACAAACCAAGUAGCCCAGAUAAGGUGAGGAGCUGCUCACUUAUGUUUGCCUUCGCUGAUUUUGAUAAAAGUGAACGUCCAAUCUUCACAUCUUAUCUUCUUUUCAUCUUUUAUUAGAUCUGAUGCCCAUUUCCUUCAUUUAUGUCUUACAGGUUUUUCUUCAUUAAUUCAAGGAUUUAUGCUAUAGCAUUUGGAGUUAUGUUUGAUGUUUUACUUGGAUAUUCACAUUAAGCACAUGAACUAAUAAUUGACAAAAAUUAUCUAUGCUUUCCUAAAUAUAUACAUUCACAUAGGAAAUGCUACCUACACAUCAACUAACCAAUUCGUCUCUGUUUUUUAUAAUGAUAAAGACGUUUGGUAUUUUAGGAGACACAUGGAGAUCUUCCCAAAAAGCUUGAGAAAAUUUGGGAACCCUAUGAUAUGAUUUUACUCUGCCAAAAGUUGUCAUCAUCUUGUUGAGCAAGGAGAGAAAAUUUAUAGGGACAAAAUGGGUCUGAGUCAUCAUUUAGCUCACUUAUUGACUGGGCUGCAACUGUCUUGCCUUUGGUGGCCCAGACAUCAUUUGAGCCUAUUCAUCCAAACAAGAUGAUCAUUUCAAGAGCCUAUUCCAUUUGUUCAACACUUUCAACCGCAAUAACAGCCAAUCCCUUAUUCCAGAAUGAAUCUUGGGAGGAGGCUUUUAGAGUGAUUGUGGUUGAGCUUGCGUUGUUUUAAAUUUUUGUUGAGACCUAAUUUAACUCCUGCAUUUGUUUGUGAAGCUCACUCCAAUGCCUAUGUGGAGUAUUUCUCAUUUGGAAUAUGGUUAGUCAAGAAACUUGUCACAAACACAUUCCCAAAGUAUAUUGAAAUAUGAAAUUUGUGAUAUGCUAAGCACUGACAUAGAAUGUGUUUGGAAAAAAAAAAAUAUGAAUGGUGUGAUAUACCUGCCACCAUUUACUUAACAUUGAAAGUUACUUUAAAUUUGAAAAGAAUCAUUGAAGUGUAAGAUUAACCAAUAUAGCAGUAAUAUUUGUGAACAUGAUGAAACUGAGAAAGCAUGCAUUUUGGGACAUUGGAUGAUGCCAAAAAAUUAAUAACCCCUUGUGGCCUGGUUUGCACUUGCCAAUAUCAUCAUCCGUGUUGAAAGUGUUGCAAAAGGUUGUUAAAGUACCUACAAAGUGUUACAAAAGGUUGUCAAAGUAUCUAGAGUUCUCUUACCAAUACCGUCCCUAUAAAUCCUCAUCAAAACCAAGAACGAAUUAUGGUCUUGAAUUAGCUUUUGGGAAUCCCAAUGAUAUAAACACUUAGUUAUCUAUUUAGGCUAUAUUUAGGUUCGAUGGUGGCUCGUGUGGAGACUUCCAAGAUCAUAGUGUUUAUUUAGUCCAUCACCAACUGAAGCUUAUAUUGAAAUUUCAAAUUGUCAAAAACCAAAAUAACAUUUUAAAAUGUCUCCUCCAAUUACUUUUGAAGUUGUUCACUUCUAAUGAUAAAAUAACCACAUAACAUCCAAAGCUGAUACUAAAACACUACAAAGUUCUUCCAUUCAAAUCAGUCAUUUAUCAUCUAAUUCUUCUCUUCUGACUCCUUAAUUGAAAAUGUUUAUGAGCUUGAAUUCGUCUCAUAUUUGUUGGCCUUCUUCAUUUUGGGAUAAAUUGAAUCAUGGACUAGCAAGUGUAUUGCCCUUGUUCUGAUAUUGUAUCCAGCUCGAGUAUGACCAAUCUAUGUCCUCAAAGUCCACAAUACAAGUGGCAACUUUUAAAAUGCAAAGAUCUUAACCUUAUUUUUGCUUUAUUGAAUUCAAUUUGAUCCAAAAAAAAAAUAUGAAUGAACAAAGCGGAUCUCCCAAAAUUCUUCUGUCUCAUGUGCUGCUGAUUUGAGUAUAUGGUAAUCAUCAUAGGUCCAUUAAUUUCAGUAUGAAUUCAUAAAGACUGUGAACCCCAAUAUGCAAUUUGCUUUCAUCCAUUGAAGAGUAAACUCUACCAGAGGCGCCACUACAAAACCAUUAUCCAUUUCCCAUGCACCUUACCUUUGUCAUGCGAAAACAAAACCUUUCCUUUCCAGAGGCAUCUGUUUGUUUAUGUUGACUCCUUGUGUCACAAGUCUUUCAAAAAGAGCCUACCAGUAUUCCUCCUAGAAAAAGGAUGGAAGCAGUCCAUCGUCUCUGAUAGAGAAAAAGAGAAAGAAAAAGGAACUGAUGGUAUUGGGCGGUCAAUACGUGGUGGUCGCUGUAAGUUGGCUUUCAAAGGAGAAGAGAUGUCAAGAGGAAUGUUCUUAGAAAGAGAAGAUGAAGGUAAUAAUGAAGAAGACGCAGCAUGCAAACUCUAAGUUGAAAAUGGAGGUCACAAUGGAGAACUACACUCAAGAUUUGAUGAAGAUAGUCUUUUCGUCCAAAGUGAUUGGCAAGUCAAUUUUUUUAAAACUACUUUUCAUAAAAAUAGAAAAUAAAAAGAUUUGGAUAAGUUUAUUUACAAAUACUUUUCCAAUUUUAAUUUUUUUUUAAAAUUGUAAAUUUAAUUUAUAUAAUAUUAAUUUAAUUUAAUUCAAAAUUAUAAAAUACAUUUAAAAUAAAUAUUUUUAGUAAAAUAUAAAUACAAAUAUUUUAAUAAAAUCACUUAUUAUAUUUCUCAUAUAAAUGAUAUUAGUUUAGCAUAUAUUAUAAAAAUAUGGACAAAUUGAUUUUUUUUUCAAACUAAAUAAUUAUAACAAUUUAAAAUUAAUAAUGAUUAAUAAUAUUUUAUUUAAAAUAAAAUUUAAAACAAAACAAUAAUAAUUUUUUCAUAUAUAAAUAAACCAAUUUUUUAGUUACAUAUACCCAUUUAAAACUUAAUUAUGAAGAGAGUAUUUAGAACUAUUUUUUAUUUAAUAUGCAAUUAUUUAUAUCAAUUUUUAAUUAAAUUAUUUUUAAGAAUUAAAAGAUCCAUUAAAUAAUUUAAAGUAUUGAAUCUCAUUUGAUUUAUAAUCUAUUUAUUUAGUGAGAAAAUUUAAAAAAUAAAAUUGUUUAUAUAUGAUAAAUUAAAUAAUAAAAUCAUAAGUCGAUGUAUUAGUGUAGACCCCUCUUCGACCAAGAGGUAUUGCUAGACACCCAGAAAGAGUUGGGAUUUUCAUUUGGAAGUAGGGGACGGCUUCCAGGUGAACCUGCAUGGGACACGUAGCAAUGGAAGUGACCACCUUGCUAUGGUGGUGGUUGAAGCAGUGGAGCUGGUGGUGACAUCUUUGCUGAACCGGGGACGGUGAGAGUGGGUGGCAGCUUGGAAGAAAAACGAGCUAGUGAGGGCUGAUUCUGAAGGAGGGGAUAUCUGGAGAGAAAAAUAGAGGAAGUGGGAUAGGGAUUUUCAAUUCCGGAGGGGGAAGGUUUUUCAACAGGAGAAAGACCAGAUAAAUAAAUAAAUAAAAGAGUACCAAGGGAAGUUGGACUAGGCCGUGGGUAGCAAGGAGGAAGGAAGUUUACCAGUCUUUGGAAGAUUGGAGUACUUUCAAGGGUUUGUUGGUGACUUUACUUUAAUAUUUGCUUUGAACUUUCAUGUUGAACCAGUGAUCUUGGAACCCCUUGAUUUCAGUAUGAAAUGGGUUUCCAUUUAAUGGGCCAUUUCGGUUUUUAUUUAUUUAUUUUUUAUCUUAGUUAUACUAUGUUCGAGGUUUGUUCAUUUAUCUGCAUCUAGCAUCAUUUCUAUCUCCCCAUUCUCCAUACACACUACUUUCAGCUAAUCUCCAUACCCAUCACCUUCCCAUCCUUUGUACCCAUCAAACCCACCACCACACCAAAAAGGAAAAAAAGAAAAGGCUUUGGAGUUUGUUUGGGGAGAAGUGGGGUGUGCACGUUAAGUAGAGCGAGAGCCAGAGUGUAUUAAGUUCUUGGUUUGGAAUGCUUUAAGGUUUCCCAAUUCUAAUUUACACCCCCCUGUGUGUAGUUUAGCUCUUCUUUUAAACGUUUUGGGGUUCUGGAUUUUCUGGGUUCUUCACCAUGGCUGCUACUGCUACGCAUGUUAACAUUGGGAUGCCCACUAGAGUGCGGCGCUUGCCAUUGUUCAAGCAGAAGUUUGAGGUCCAGAAGCACUUGAAGUGGUUGAAUAAGCUUGCUGUCAAAACCAUUAAGAGCUCAAAUGGGGAUUUAAUAGACUAUGCAUUAAUCCUCAGCUUCCAGCCUGUUUGGCUUGCAUGGCUGCCCCUUUUAUGCAUUCCUCUGUUUUCUGUAUCAUAGCUAUGCACGGGCAUCCUCCAAUGCACCAUCCAAAAGCCAUAUGUCAUUUUUUUUUCUUCAUUUUUUGAUGCCAAAAUUUAAUUUUCAAAACUUUAAUCUUCAAAUAAUUUUCCGAAAUUCUAAUUUCCAAAUUUAAUUUUUAAAACUUCCAUUUCCAAAUUAUUUUUCAAAAUAUCAAUUCUUAAAUUAAAUUUUUUUUUUUAAAUUUCAUUCUCAAAUAAUUUCCCAAAAUUCUAAUUUUUAAAACUUUAAUCUUCAAAUAAUUUUCAAAAAUUUUAAUUUCAAAUUUAUUUUUUAAAACUUUCAUUUCCAAAUACUUUUUCAAAAUAUCAAUUCUUAAAUUUAAUUUUUUUUUAAAUUUCAUUCUCAAAUAAUUUUCCAAAAUUCCAAUUUCCAAAUUUAAUUUUCAAAACUUUCAUUUUUGAAUAAUUCUUCAAAAUCCCAAUUUUUUUAAAAUUUAAUUUUCAAAAUUUCCAUUUUCGAAUAAUUCUUUAAAAUUCUAAUUUUUUAAAAUUUAAUUUUCCAAACUCCCAUUUUCAAAUAAUUUUAUAAAAUUCCAAUUCUCAAAUUUAAUUUUCAAAUAAUUCUUCAAAAUUCCAAUUCUCAAAUUUAAUUUUCAAAACUCCCAUUUUCAAAUAAUUUUCCAAAAUUCCAAUUUUCAGAACUCUCAUUUUCAAAUAAAUUUCAAAAUUCUAGUUUUCUUUCAAAUAAUUUUAAUUCCAAUCCAGUUUUCAAAUAUUUUUUAAUUCUACUACUUUUCAUCCUUCAUUAGGGUUCUAGGUCACUAAAAAUUUCGUUUUUAAAUACACUUGCUAUCAUUUCUUUCAGGUAAGCACUUUCAAAAAUUUUCUUUGAUUUUAAAAUAAAUUUUCGUUUUCCUUGAUUUUUAAUAAGCAUGAAGGCAAUUUUCAUAAUUCCAAAAUAAUUGAAUUUGUGAGAUUAAUUCAUGCAAAAUCAAUUAGGCUUUGGUGGGGGCCUUACAUAUGAGUAUUCUUUUUCUUAUUAUCAACUGUUAUGUUUAAUGAAUAUUGUAUGAUCUUUGUCUUGUUCUUUGAUACACAUGUGAUAAUUUUGUAUUUGAGUUGACCUUGUUUCCAUGAUAGUGCACUAUUACUUGCUACUAAGGUACGUUCCCACUCCUAUUGCAUUUAUUUAUUCGUUCUCAUGCUCGAUUUAUUUUAUUAUUCAAUCAUUUUAUUGUUAUCCAUUGAUUUCUUUAUCAACUAUCACGUUUGUUUCACCUUAUUUAGUAUAUACCCAUUUUUAGGGGCUUAAAGGGGUGCUACGGUCUUUACUGUACCUUCUUAAUGAGCAACUUGACCCCUAAACCUAGGUUUGGUUUUUCACAAACCAUAUUUUCCAAAUAAGGAGUUACACUUAGGGUUUUUUUUCUUAUUUUGUUUUCCCUAAAAAAAUAAUAAAACAAAAAUAAGUGACAACUCUAAGUCUUUUUUAAAAAUCAUAUUUUUCACCAAAUAAAUAAAUAAAUUAAAAGUGAGUUUCGUCACCAAGUAGGAACGCGUCGUGUGAAAUACGGGGUUCACAAUUAGUUUUGAUCUAUUAUCUUUGAUAGUGAUUAGAUGUAUAUUUGAGUUCCAAUUUAUUUUUCAAAAUUAUUCAACUCAUUAAUAAAUUCAAUACAUUAAAUCUCACUUAUUUAAAAUAUAUUUUUCUAAUAAAAAAUUCAUAAAAAAAAUAUAGUUAUGUACAAGAAAAAUAAUAGAGUCAUUUUCGACCAAUUUUAAUCAACGAAUUUUCAAUAACCGACUUCUAAAUAAUUUCAAAAUUAAGUAAUACAAGUGAUUGGAGUUUAUUUGUGUAAUGAGAAAAUUUAGAAAAAUAUUGUUUUAUAUAGAAAAAAAAACAAUAGAGUUAUUUUAAAUUAAUUUUUAUUUAUAAAUUUCUUGUAUUACAUAGUUUACUAUUUGAGUUUCAAAUUAUUUUUAAAACCUAUUAAACUCGUUAAUGAAUCAAACACAUUAAAACUUUUUUAUUUGGAGUUUCUUUGCCUUAGUAAAAAAGGAAAUUUACAAAAAUAUAAUUAUACAUAAAGAAAAAACUAACAAAAUCAUUCGGAAUAAAUUUUGAUAUGUAAAUUUCUAAUAUUAACUAGACUCACCUUUAAGAUCCACGACUUUCUAGUACUAAUUGAAUUAGUUUUUUAAUUUAAUAAAUAUAAUGUAUCAAAUAUCACUAGAUUUGAAAUUUCUUUGGUUAAUCAAAAUAAUUUAAAGAUCGAAGUUAAAAGAAGUACACAAACUACAUAGAUUUAAGAAAAUAAAUCAUAUUUGAAAAAUUUUUAUAUUGGUUGAUGGAGAGAGAAUAAAAAUAAAAUAAAAUUGUGUCAUAAUUUAUUUGUUUUUGUGAUUUCUUUUCAUGCUAUUUUUUAUUUCUCAUAUUUUUCUUUAAAAAAAGGUGAAAAUAACUUUUACUUAAUCUUUCAAAUUGUUCUCCACUUCACUUUAUUUAUAAAAAUUGUUUUUAGAGAACAACUUCCAAACGACUCAUAAUUUUUUAACAACAAAAAAUUGUUUUCAAAUCAUAUCAUCAACCAAGCUAUUGUUUUUAAAUCUUGUACUUCACCUUCUUAAUUUUAUUGUGGUUAUAUUUAAAUGGAAUCAAAAUAUGCAAUAAAUAAAAACCUCAAGAGGACUCUAACAAAUUAACUUAUACAUUUAUAUACAUCAUCAAUCCACCUAAUAAAUUAACAAUUUUGAAUCAAUUCACUUAAUAAACUAACAAUUAUAAAUAAACUGAUAUUUUUAGUAUGAGAUUCAAAUAUAGAAAAAUAUUUCAACAUCAAUUAGAGUAAUUUUUUAAAAACUUAAAAAAAAAUAAAAAUUAUCCUCCAUAUAAUUGUACAUACUCUUGAGUAUCUAAUGUUUUUCUCUUCAACAAGGUGUUUUGAGUUUUAUACAGAGGAUUACAUAUAUUGCACCAGCUUCUUUAAUUUCUAGAGUUACUCGACCCUUGAAUACUUAGUAGAAUUUCUCAUUUUGUCCAAGAAACUACUACCCAUUUCCCACACCUUAUCAUUUUGUCCAAGAAAAAGAAACUGAUGGUAUUGGGUGGUCAAUAUGUGGUGGUCACUGUAAGUUGGCUUUCAGAGAAAAAAAAUAUAUAUAUAUAUAUAUAUAUAUAUAUAUAUAUAUAUAUAUAGAGAGAGAGAGAGAGAGAGAGGAAAGGAGAAAAGACGUCAAGGGGAAUGUUCGUAGAAAGAGAAGAUGAAGGUGGUGAGUGUGAAUUGGGUUGGAAAGAAAGAAAAUGAGAAAUUAAAAUGAAAAGGAAGGACAAAAUGAUCAGGGAAAGACUUUGUUUUACUUGUUAGUUCCCAGAUUUCCUUGCCAUUGUGAGUUUGUUACUAAGGCCGCCUCCACUCAGUCCUUUGCUGUUCGCGGCCAGCUUCAUCUUGGCAGUAUGAAAUGGCUAUGGAGUUUCGUCGGGGGCAUGGUCGCCUACAGCUUCCUGUAAGAACAAUGAAAAUUUGAUCAAGUCUGCAAUAUCAUCUCCCCUUUUGUGAUCCUCCUAAAAUGCCUGUGUGGACCUGCAUUUUUCACGUGCGUCCCCACUCGAUCGGCGAGACUCGCUUUUUAUUUGUGAAAAAUUGAUUUUUUUUUUAAAAAAGUUGGAGUCGCCACUUAUUUUAUUUUUAUUUUUGAAGGGAAAAUAAAACAAGAAAUAAAACCCUAAAAAAAAUGACUCCAUAAUUUUUGGAAAAGCGUGUCUUUGAAAACCCAAGUCUUGGUCCGAGGAUCAGGUUACUUAUUGGGAAGGUACCUCUAUGAGGUAGCACCCCUCUAAGCCCUAAAGAGGUCUCUACUAACUAAAUCGGGGGCAAUGUGGCAAUUAGUUGAUUAAUUGGGGAUACCUAGAUAGACUAAGGUGAUUUCAAAAAAUAACAUGCCAAAUAGAAUCAAAUUGCCGUAAAAGAAAGGUUAGGAUGCGUACCCGGACCGCUUCUCAAGCGCUAUCAUAAAACAUCAGAGUUAGUAUAGAAGUAUAACACACAACAUGUAUUUAAUCAUAGUGAAUCAAGCAUACAUCUAAACACCUAAGGAUUAUCAAACAUAUGCAUACUUCACAGUGACAUGAUUGUUUACAAAAUUUAGAAAGUAGGUGAUAGGGGGGGCGUACCUGGAUAGCAUAGAUAACUUACAAUGCGCUUCCAUAAGACAUGAGGGAUUAGAUAAUAAUAAAAUAAAGAAACCCUAGCAUGCUUGUUAUCUAAUUAGCAUAACAAAAAUUAUCAAAGUAUAUGAAAACAUUAAUUAUCACACUCAUCCUGUAUACAAUUCCUAAAAAAAGAUAGACAUAAUUUCAACAAGUGACAAAAAUGGCAACAAAAAUAAUUUUUGAAAAGAUUUUCUUAUGUAGGGGUUUCACCAAUCCCCCAAAUUAAUAUACACAAAUUUAGCCCAGAAUUAUCCCAUUAUUUGGGACCACAAGCUUUGAUUCGUGUUUUUGUUCAAAACCAAACUUUUUGUUAGAAACCGAGAAGGAUGCAAACCGAACAAAAUAUGGUUGCAUAUUAUUUUUUAAAACAAAAAAAAAAAAAAAAGGAUUUUGAUCCUGAGGACUCUAAAUGAGUUUUUGAAAUAGAUUUUUAAAAUGAUUUUUUGAGAAAAGUAUUUUAUUUUAAAAUAAAAGGAAUUAAUUUGGAAAAAAUAAAAUAUAAGAAAUAAAAUACCAAACAAAACAAAAACGAAACUUCAAAGUAAAAUUUUUUAGUAAUUAACAAAAAUGAUAAUGGUGAUGGUAGAGGCCAAUCUUCAUGAUUUUCCAAUGGCCUCUAAAAAUUGAUUUUUACAAAGGAUGAGCAAAGUGAUAAACCAAAACCUUAGAUCUUACAAGCACUGAAACUUUAAAAACAUUUAAUCUUAAGAUAAACUUAAUCAAGCACUAAAUAUUAUGUGAUCUCUAAAAUAGUACAAACGAUACGUAUCAGCUAAUAUUGAUGAUCUGGAGUCAUAAAUUUAAUCGACUAACUAAACAAUUGAAUAAAAGAAAACAAACACAUAGAAUAAAUAAAAUUAGUCAAAAAACUAAAAUGAACUAUUUUUAAACACAAAACGACAACAUGGGAAUAGAUUAAACUAAUAGCCUACAAUUCGAAAGCAUAGAAUUAAUGGAAAAAUGGAAUAGAAAAAAAAAUAAAAAAUAAAAAAAAAAUCUUAACAUAAACUAAACAAUAUGAAACCAAUCAAAUUAAUUAAAACUCUAAAAAAUAUCAACAUAAAACAGGAUCAGUCCAAACUAAAAUAAUUAUUUACUUUUUAUUUAUUUAUUUAAUUUAUUUCUUUUUAUUAUUAUUAUUUUUAUUUUAAAACAUGAAUAUAUCAACGCGGAAUGAAAUAAAUUAACCAACUUAAAUUCUAAAACUAAUAAACUAAAAGGAAGAAUCAUGAAUUAUAUUUAACAACUUUUAGAUAUGAAAAGAGUGACAUGGAAGCAAUUGAACUAAUAAACUGAAUUUUAAUAACAUUUAAACUAAAAGAUAAAUUAAAGCUUAAACUAGAAGAAAUUAUGGAUUUCCUAAUUGAGAAUAAAAAUAAUGCAAAUCAAAACUUUAAAUUUUUAACUAUCAUCAUGAAUUAUCCAAACUUUAAAAAAAUCCUAACUUUUCCAUUAUCAACAAAAAUUGCCCAAACUAAUACUAAAAAAAAAAUCUAAUUUGCCAAACUAAACAAAUAAAUUGUAACUACGUUAAACAAAAAUCAUAAUCUUCAAGCUAGGAUGAUAAAUCAAAAUUAAUUUAUUUAGUUAAGAAAAAGAAAUUAAAAAUUAACAUUUAAACUAAAUAUGAAUUUACAAUAAAAAAUAGAAUAGAAUAAAAUCUAAAAUGCAUAGGCCAAAUAGGAAUAAUUUUAAAACUAAAUCAUGAAUAUAAUGUUAUUGGAAAUAAUUAAACCUAAACAAUAGAUAAAAUACCACUCAAUGGACGGAGCAUGACGGCUGCGUGUGUAUGGAGCAAUGGUGCUUGGAGCCGGCUGUGACUUUGAAUCAUGGAUGACAGUUGUGAAGAGGUGCGAGCUGUGCAUGGGCUAUGUAGGCAUGUUCUCUCCAAAAGAUGGAAAAUCCCACACAUAUCAUGCGUCUGUAUAUUCUUUCCGGGUUGUGCAUGAUCCUCUUUGGAUCAAAAUCUGCUACGUAAUGAAGACUCAAAGUGGCAGCCCUCUUCUCUAUAUUGAUGAUGCAGCUGUUUCUUCCCCGAUCUCCAUGGAACAUGUCCAGAAUGCCUGCUGGUUGUGUGCUCCAAAAAUCUGGCAGCAUGAUCGAUUUCCAAACUUAUGGUGCGUGGUGUUCUUUUUUUGUGGGUUGUGCAUGUUUCCCCCGUAUGGCUGCGUCAUGGCUGCCUCAAUUCCCACCCCUCAUGGCUGUCCUCUCCUUUCCUUCUUCUCAAAACUUCUCCAAUCCUAGAAAAAUCAUAUCUCUUCCUCUCCGUGUGCCUCUCUAAAAAAUUUCCUCUCCAAAAAUAUAUUCUCUUCUCUUAUUUAUAUGGCAGCCUCACCCUCAUGGGAAAUAUAUUUUUUUUUUUCCUUUUGGAGAUGCAUGUGGAUAUGGGAAGUAUGGCUCGCUUGGAGAUUCCCAAGUUGCAGCCCAUGGAAAGUGCGUCCAGGUAGCCUCCCAAAGUACAUGCUGCAAUGUGGUGCUUCUAUUUAAAAUAGGUGUAGCCAUGAAUGGCAUCCACAAUGGAAAUCCUUCAAGGCAGCAUGGCAUGUGCAUGUAAGUCUUGGAGAAUGCAAAUCUACUGCGUGUGGACUCCUUCAGGCGACUAUGGAGACUUCCUGAAGUGGCGUGUUGCUGUUAGUGUGGGGUCCCCCAAUUGCAGCCCGCGGAGGUGCAUGGUUGUUUGUCUUGAAGAAUUCUUCUCUAUGGAAAGUACAGGUUGUCAAUCUUAUUAUUUCUCUCUCCCGCUGGUGUUAGCGCCUCCUUUUCCCAUAUAUGCGUGUUGCAAAAUCAACAUCCCACUAUAUGCGGGUUGCCUCUAUGGUAAGUUCACAUAUUCCCACAUGCAACCCGUGAUUUUCUACCAAAAAUUGCCAUGAAAAAGUCUUCACAUGCAUCUCAUGCAUCCACUUGCAGCCGUGUAUGGUUGCCUUCUGAAGACAAGUUGGUGUGCUUUGCUUCACUAAAAUUCAGCAUGCACCAAGUCUCUAUGCAAAGAUGAGUUGGCUGCAACCCUCCCAAAAUUUCUCCAUUAACGGAUCCCAAGUAUCUCCACCAAAAUCAUGCAAAGAUAAAUACAAAAAAUAAAAAUUAGAAAUCAUGUAAUAAUAUCAAAAUAAAUAAAUAAAUAAAUAAAUAAAAUAAAAUAAAAUAAAUCUCAAAUAAUGCAAUCAAUCACAUGCGUUAAGAAAAAAUAUAUAUAUUAUUCCAUGUAACUUAAAAAAAUUAGAAUCAUAAUCUCAAGCAAUUUCCUAAUAAAUAAAUAAAUAAAUAAAUAACCUAACAAAAAAUAAGUAAAUAAAUGAAUAAAUAAAUAUCACAUGGGCAAUUAAAAUUUGAAAAUAAAAAUAAUGCAAUAGAAAAUAAUGAAAAACGAAUGCAAUCAAGAAUCGAAAUAGAGUCCAAUGCUCACCUAACCCUGGAAUCGGGCAAUCAAACUCACAUAAUUAAGUAUCAAAAGACCAUCUCAUGCAAUCCAAAGUAAAAAAACAAGCCAAUACUCAUCGAAAUCUAAAGAACCAAGCAAUCAAGAAAUCAAACCUAAACAAGUGUCCAAAUGGCCUAUUUUGAAAAAAGUGCCUAAGUGACCUAGGGUGAAUGUGUGCAAGUUGGAAGGUGCUUAGGAUGUUUAGGACAAUGUCUAAGUGAAAUAAACAUGCUUAAGUGUGCUAUCCUAAAAGUGCACCUAAAAGUUAUCUUAAAAAUGAAGGAAAAACCUAAGUUUAAAUUAGGGCUGCCAAAGGUCACAAUAAGGGGUCAGGCAAUCCCUCGAUCGAAGUCUCCGAGGUGACUCAGAAAAAGGUAAGUCGUACGAGUAGUAAUGGGCCACCAAGGAACUACCGUGGAGCACUGGAAGUAGAUUUAAAGACAUGUGCUAAAAGGGCAAAAUUGAGGGUUUACAGCCUGAUUAUUAAAUAUUUAUGCGUUAAUAAUUAUUUCGGUAGUUGUUUACUUUUAUUCAUCAUCCUCCAACAUUAUAUUGAUAUUUUGCCUGAGUUUUUUCUUUUUGUUUUUUUUUUUCCCCUUGGUUUAGACUAUAUGUUCUUGUUCGGAUUGAAAGAAAAAUCCACAUCUUGAUAAUUAUUAAGAUAUGUUUUAAUUAAGAUUUGUGUGAAAGCCUUUCUGUUCCUUUCCCGGCAGAAAAAUGCUGGCUGAAUACUCUACGAUGCGGCAUAGAAACUCUACGAUGAAGAUGAACGACACACCAGACUGGGACACUAUAGAUCAGGCGGACGUAGAUGACUCACGAGAUUUGGUGAAGCUAGUCUUGUCGAGGGUCAUAGAGAAACUCUGUGUUGUGUGGAUUCAAGAACCAGCAGUUUUCGUUGGAGUUGAAGAAGAGGUCCAAUGGAUCCAAAGACAGUUGAUGCAUGCUCGACUAAAAUAUAGUUAUGUCCCAGAACAAUUAAUGGACGUUGCCUAUGAUUUUGAAGAUGUGAUUGAUGACCUUAUACUCAGAUCAGCCGCAAAGCAAAGGAGAAUAGGAAACUGGGAGAGGUGCCUUUUGUUAAUAAGAAUUCACAAGAAGCUAGAAUUGAUCAAGUCUAAGAUCCCUGUUCUUCCUCAUCACCCACAUCGUUCCCAAGUACAAAGUGUCGGCCCCUCUAACUACAGUAUUGAAGAAAUAGUCAUUGAGGACUUCAUCAACAGAACAGAACUUCAUCAUGAAAAGAAGUUGGAUGGGACCUUCCAAGGGAUUUCUUUCGGCUUUUGGCAAAUUCAAAUUUCAGGAUAAGCUUGCUGUGGAGAUGGACAAAAUAUAUGUCAAGAUCCAAAACCUCUCUAUCCACCGGCCAACAGCAUUCAACCCACAAGGUCAAAGUAGGAACCCAAAGUAUACCUUGGGUUCCACCGAGCGAAUCCCACGGCAGCCAACAACGCAAGAACCUGAUCUCGCCAGCUUUGGUGAUGAUGUGCAUGCAAUGAUAGCACGGUUGCUCUAGAUGAUCUGAAUUUCAGAGUGAUUCCAAUUAUGGGUAUGCAAGGCAUUGGAAAGACAACCCUAGCAAAUUUGAUAUUUAACCAUAAAGCUGUCGUGGAUCAUUUCCCCUUUGCUGCUUGGAGGUCAGAUGGCUAUCGAUUUCAGCUAAAUAACAAGGGAGAAUUGUUGCAGUCCGGUCGAAGUCAAUGCAGUGUGUGGAGUAAUCAAUACGAGAUGCAACGGUUGAUACCUUUCUUGAUUAAUGACAGGUCUCUGAUAGUUGUCGAUAAUUGGAAUUUCUUGGUCGACGACCUAGAAAUGCUUCCAGAUGCAUUAAAUGGUAGUAGAAUUAUUUUGACGACUUGCGAAACAAAGCUACCUCCAAAUCUCAAAAUGAAGAGUGAUCCUCACCCACUGCGGUGACGGACAGAUGAGGAGAGUCGGGCAUUGUUUACCCAUGCUUUGAAAUUUAGCAUACCCCAAGAAUUGCUAAAGCUAAAAGACGAAAUUGCAAAAAGAUAUGAGGGGCUGCCACUGCUGAUUGUAAAAUUGGCAUAAGCACUCUCACACAAGGAUGCAACCCUUGAGGAGUGGUCCACUGCACUUCAACAAUUUCAUCAUGACCAAUAGCAACUUUGGCCCAAUACCCUCUACAAGAUCCAUAAGGAUUUGUCCUUGUACAUGAGGAGAUGUCUAUUUUAUUUCACUUUAUUUCCUCAAGAUUUUGAUAUUCCGGCAAGAAGAUUGAUAACAUUGUGGGUUGCAGAGGACUUGGUACAGCCAGAGGGCGAGAAUAAAACUCCAAAAGAUGUUGCAGAAAGGUGUUUGAAUUUGUUGAUAGGCCAGGGAAUGGUUCAAGUGACAAAGAAGAAGCUUAAUGGGAAUGUUAAAAUGGUGCGAUUGCCCGAUGCCCUAAGACAAUAUUGGUCAUCCAAAGCUCAACAAGCCACAUUUCUUGGAGUUCAUACUAAUACAAUAUCUGACUUGUCCCUAGGCACCAAUAAGAUCCGUCGUCUGGUUGAUCAUCUUGACAAAGAAGAUAUCAGCUUUGACCAUAUUCAUGGUAAUCACAACACAACUUCUAGUACUUCUUUGACACCUUAUUACGAAGAUGUACUUUCUUUUCUGUCUUUUGAUACUCGAGAAGAAGUGGGAAACUUUCUUCGUCAAAGCAUAUCCAGUGGUUGCUUAAUUCCUUGUACUGCUCGUGCUUGAUCUCGAAAAUGUAUUCAGACCAGUUACCUGAGGUAAUUGGAAAACUAACUCGACUAAGAUACCUUGGCUUAAGAUCUACAUUCCUCGAGAUACUUCCAUCAUCUAUAAGCAAGUUGCAGAACGUUCAAACACUGGACAUGAAGCAUACUUGCAUCAACACUCUUCCUAAUUCAAUCUGGAAGCUACAACAAUUGCGACACUUACACUUGAGUGAGAGUUGUCGAAGUAAACUUAUGCCUUGACAUGAUACAAAUUUUCCUACAAUCCUCCAAACAUUGUGUGGGCUUCUUGUAGAUGAGGAGACUCCCGUAAGAGAUGGCCUAGACAGGUUAUUCGAUAUUAGGAAAUUGGGAUUGACAAUAUCAUCUAAACAAGAGGCAAUAACAUUGCAACUGCAGGCAGUAGUUGACUGGGUUCUAAAACUGAACCAACUUCGGUCUUUAAGGCUCAAAUCUAUUGAUGAAAGCAAUCAGCCAUGGGAUCUAGAGUUGAAGCCUUUAGUAAGCCUUGUGAAUCUUUCUUACAUUUACUUGCUCGGACGGUUAAGGAAUCCAUCCAUUAUGUCCCAAUUCCCAUACAGCCUCAUCGACCUCACCUUAUCAGGGUCAGGACUUGUAGAAGAUCCAAUGCAGUCACUGGAUAAGCUUCCCAACCUUAGAAGUCUUAAAUUGCUUGCCAAAUCUUAUUUAGGGAAGAACAUGAUUUGCUCUUUAGGAGGCUUUCCUUAGCUUCGAGCUCUUAAACUAUGGAAGUUAGAGCAACUGGAGGAAUGGAAUGUAGAGAAAGGAGCACUACAAGCUCUCCGAGAUUUGGAGAUUAGGUUCUGCAGAAGUCUGAAAAUUCUACCUGCAGAAUUGUUGCAUAGAACUCUCUUGAAAAUUGAAGUUAUACCUGCCCAGUAAGUUCACUACUUCAUCUCUUGAAAUUUGGUUUAUAACCUACUUUAACAUGAGAUGAUUGCAUUGUGUAACAAACAACCUGAUAUGCCAUUGUGUUUUCUUUCUUUCUUUCUUUCUUUUUUUGUUUGAUUAGGGUGUGAGAAGCUAAGCAAGAAGGUUCUGGUCUACUUCUUCGUGUUGGGCUUUGCUUUCCAUUUCAAUGUUUUUGCUGUUGGAGCAGAUAUUCAAAUCCUCAUGAGGGCAGUUCUCAGUUGCAACAAUGUAUAGAGCUCAUUUUCUUGAAUUGGGUUUCCAUCCCUUCUGCUCAUUAUUCUGUUCUACUAUGUUCUCGUCUUUCAAACCUUAAAUGCAUACUGUAUUGUACUUGUUAGGAGAUUCUAUAACUAGUGUUUGUGAACUAUAGAAUCAGGGCAUCAUGAACACAAUGGUGUUGUGGGUGUGAUUGUAUUUGGAUUGAAUAAAGUAAUUUUUUCUUUUAGUUGAUGAUGUUUGUCAGAUAGAAUUUAACCGGCCAGUCUGCUCUAAUGCACAUAGGGAGAAAACAGCUGUUCUCUUCCUGCCCAGAUGGAUGAAGGAGAGUAAGAUUAAUCCUCCACCUUUCUGUAGCUUAUUUUGUAAGUGUAUUAGGUUCAAAGUCUUCAAUUACGUCAUAUUAAUAUAUCAAAGUAAUACUUCCUUUUGCUCACAAGCUCAGAUUAGAGCACACCAUGGCUUGCAUGGCCGCUUACAUGCUCUGCCCAUUCCAAUAGUUAGUCCAUUUAGUCCAAAUACAAUAUCAAAGCUUACGCCCUUUCCUUUUUAGUAAUUUAGAAGAGCCUAGCACAACGGAUUUGGACAUUGGAUCGUACAAUAUAAUUAUGGAGCAAUAAUUACAACACCCAUUUCAAAUGUGAUUCAUCCACCUCCAAACCAAAGCUGCUGGUUAUUGAAGGAGAAGAACAGAGAGUUUCUAUAACAACCUCCAUCCAAUGCUUCCUGACAUGAGACAUCUAUCUCUGUCCUGCUUCCUUAACUUCAAUCUGUUCCAGUCCAUCUGCUUCUUCUUCUUUUUGUAUGGUCAGUAUGGGGGUUCUGGAAAUGAACAUCAGAGCUUUCACCCAAGUGAGACAUUUGGUUUUGGAAUCGUACAUUUAGCUUGUGGUUUGGGUGUUUGAAACAGGGCAAUUAAAAUACAGUUUCCAGAAUGCCAGAAAAAUUCAAGGCCUAAAUUCAUGGACAAGUAUAGGCCAGAAACUAUUGAGCUUUAAGAUUUCACAGGGGAAUAGUAAUAUAACUGGCCACUGCAAUACGUCAUUCUGAUAUAGCUGCAGGAAGCAGCCUUUCCUGCACUACAGCCAUUUUGCAUGAGGCUUACUACUUUUUCAGCACUUUCAAGCACUUAAUUGGAGCUCUCCUUCAUUCUUUUUCCAAAAUAUGUCUUGGGAGUUUUUCCCAGAGAGGAAGUACAUAACAGCUAGAAACCAAGUUGCACAAUGUUGGAAAUGAAAAAGAUAGAAGCAAGUCAGGGAUUUUUUAUGCCUGCAGGAUGGCUAAAGCUUUGUAAACGCUAGAAACAGAGGAUCAUUGGGACUGUGCACAGAAAUGGGAGAUGACAAGCCGUGUUUGUGGAGAUGCUAUUUUAUUCUGUAAGGUAUGGUUGAUAAGAUCAACAUGCCAAGUAGCCCAGAUAAGGUGAAGAGCUGCUCACUUAUGUCUGGCUUCUGAUGGCUAAUUUCGAUAGAAAUGAACAUCCAAUCUUUUCAUUGUAUCUUCUUUUCUUCUUUGGUUAGAUUCGACUCCUAUUUCCUCCAUUUAUGACUAACAUUUGAUCAUUAGUGAUAUAGGUUGGCAGUUUUUUCUUCAUUAAUUCAAGGAUUUAUGCUACGGCAUUAGGAGUUGUGUUUGAUGUUAUGAUCAGAUUUUUGCAUUUAGCACAUGAACUAAUUGAGAUCAAGAUUAUAAUUUCAAAUAAUGUGGUAAUGGAGGCACCACUUCUGCUACUACACUUGGUGGCCCAAGCAUCAUUUGAGCCUAUUCAUCCAAACAAAAUUAUCAUUUCAAGAUGUCAUGCAACAUAUUCUAUUUGUUCAACAUUUUUAACUGCAACAACAGCCAACCCCUAAUUCGAGAAUAAAUGUUGGGAGGAGGCUUUCAGAGUGAUUGAGUUUGAGUUUGCCGUUUGUCAAGAAACUUAUCUCAAACUCAUUCCCAAAGUAGACUGCAACAUAAAAUUUGAAAAGAAUAUAACAAAUAUAACAAAAGAAUAUAGCUUAUCUCAAAAAAUAAAAAAAUGAAUUGUACGACAUAACUUGCCACCAUUUACUUAGCAUUGAAGGUUACUUUAAAUUUCAAAAGAAUCACUUGAACCAUGAGAUUAACAAAUAUAACAAAUCAGUUGAACAUGAAGCUGAUAAAGCAUGUUCUCUAGGACAAUGGAGAAUGCCCAAAAUCAAUAACACCAUCACAUGGGGCAUUGAACGACCUUGGACAGUAGAUUAGUUUCUGCUUGCUGAUAUUAAUGCAUCAUCCAUGUUGAAAGUGUUGUAGAAGGUUAUCGAAGUAUGUCAGUGGUAGAACACAAGAACACUAGAGAAACCUGCUGCUGAAGUUUAAAAACAAGUUAUUGCAAUCAAAUGCUGCAACCAGAAAGAAUCAUUUAGCAUAUGUUCCUAGUUGAAGGUUACAUGAAAUUUGAAAUGAAUCAUUUGAACCAUAACAUUAACAAAUAUAACCACAAUAUUUUUUAAUAUGGAGGUGACAAACUAUCCAUUCUGGGACAUUAGAGGAUGCCAAAAAUUAAUAACAAGCCGUGAAAGGCUGUGAGACAUUGGAGUAAUUUGCACUCAUCAACAUUACUGUAUCAUCCAUUUUAAGAAUAAUUUAGUUGAAAGUUAUCAAAUAUUCAAGCAAUCACACAAAAUAAGUUUUGGCUAGAGAAAGUCUCAUACAAUACUAAAAUUUAAAAAUAAGUUAUUGCAACCAAAUGUUACAACAAGAAAACACUAUUCAGCAUUUGUCUCCUCUGUCAUCACAAAUCUCUUAUUUCUAUAUUUUCUUCAAGAGAUACAAAAUUUGAUCUUAAAAUUUAAUGGAUAAAUUUUAUACAUAUAUUGCAACAAGGUGUUUUGAAUCUUAUACAGAGAAUUUCUCACUGUCCAAGAAACUCACUACCAUUGUAGAGACAUUUAAUUUGUUUGUUUAUGUUGACUCUUUGUGUCACAAGUCUUUCCGAAAGAGCCUACCAGUAUUCCUCUUAGAAAAAGGGUGGAGCAGUCCAUUGUCUCCCAUAGAGAAAAACAAAAACAAAAAGGAACUGAUGGUAUUGGGUGGUCAAUAUAUGGAGGCCACUGUAAGUUGGUUUUCAGAGGAAAGUAUUUACUUUAUAUACACACAGGGAGGAAAGGAGACAAGAGUCAAGGGGGAAUGUUCUUAGAAAGAAAAGUUGAAGGUGGUAAGCAUGAACUGGGUAGGAAAUUAAGAAUUUUAAAUGAAGAGGCCAGAGAAAAUGAUCAGGGAAAGACUUGGCUUUACUUGUUAGUACCCAGAUUUCCUUGCCAUUGUGAGUUUGUUUCCAAGGCCGCCUCCACCUCAGUCUUUUGUUGUUCGCCACCAGCUUCAUCUUGGCAGUAUGAAAUGGCUAUUGAGUUUCGUCGGGGGCAUGGUCACCUACAGCUUCUAGUAAGAAAAGAAAAUUUGAAAACAGAAGAAAGAAAGAAUAAGUCUACUUUUGUAUACGUGAACACGUCUAGAGAUGUAACUCCAUUUUUUUUAUUUCCAGGAUGCAACAUACAGAGGACCACGUCCUCUAUUUAAACACAAAAAACCAGGAUAACAAAAUUACAUUUUUUCCAAAAACAUAUUACAUAGAAUCCGUAUAACUGGUAGCAAAAAAUCCAAGACUAUCUGAGAGUAAUUUUAUUUAUUAAUUUUGUCUUUGAGAUAUGCUGCAUCAACAUUCCAAGAUAUGAUCCGAGAUAUGCUUUGCGGGAAUACUCAAGAUAUGUUCUGUUUUGAAUCUGGGAUUUGCUACAUCAAUUUGUUGAGAUUUCCUUAACUAGUCGAACUACCAUUUCGGGUUGAAGUUGUUGCCAUUGAUACUCUUUCAUCUUUCAAUGUCUCUCCACUAUUGUAGCAUGAAGCUCCUCAAGAAGACCGCGUAGCCAUACAAUUUCAGAACAAGCAGUAGACAUGGCAUGAUACUCGGCUUCAGUAGAGGAUUUAGAAACACGAUCUUGUUUCUUACAUCUCCAAGAAAUUAAGGCAUCACCUAAAAACAUACACCAACCCAUAGUAGAUCGACGUGUAUCUGGACACCCAGCCCAAUCAGCAUCACUAUAGGCAACAAGUUGAAGAGAUGAGCCAGUAGGAAAGAACAACCCACGAGUAGGUGAACCUCAAAGACAGCGGAUGAUGCGUGGAACUACAACAAGAUGGAGAUGCUGAAGAUAAGUCAUAAACUGACUGACCUAAUGACCAGCAUAGGAGAUAUCAGGUCGAGUAGUGAUCAAGUAGAUAAGACUCCCAACUAGGCGCCGAUAGAGAGUAGGAUCAUUCAGAAGGUCCCCUUCAUUUUUCAUUUAUUUGACAUUUACCUCCAUAGGAGUAUCAACAGAGGAAGUGUCCUCCAAACCAGCCAAAGUGAUAGGAUCUUGAAUAUACUUAUGCUAGUUCACGAAAAUACCACUAGCUCGAUGAUGAACUUCCAAUCCUAAGAAGUAUGUGAGCUGUCCAAGAUCUUUCAUAUGGAAAGUUGUAUGUAACAGCUGCUGAAGCUUAGUAAUCAAACCACAGUCAAUGCCAGUAAUGAUAAUAUCAUCCACAUAAACUAAGAGAAGGACUAUACCCGAUGCAGACGUGUGGAAGAAGAGUGAAGAAUCAUACUGACUUUGGGUAAAACUGAAAGAAAGAAUUGUACUACGAAACUUCUCAAACCAAGCCCGGGGCGCCUGCUUGAGCCCAUACAAAGAAUGUUUUAGCUUACAAACAUCAUGAGGAGAAUAAUUAGUCAUACCAGAGGGAAGCUUCAUGUAAAUCUCUUCCUGGAGAUCACCAUGAAGAAAAGCAUUCUUCACAUCCAUCUGAUGUAGUUGCCAUGACUGUGAAGCAGCAAUAGCUAAGAUGGUUUGAACCGUGGUCUUUUUGGCAAUAGGAGUAAAUGUCUCCUCAUAAUCAACCCCAUAUUCCUGCUUGUUACCCAAAGCUACGAUGCAAGUUUUGUACCGGUCCAAAGAGUCAUCAGAACGAAGUUUUACAAAGAAAACCCAUUUACUCCCAAUAGGUAUGACUAUAGGAGGACAAGGAAUAAUAUCCCAAGUAUGAUUCUCCUCAAGUGCUUGAAGUUCUGCUUGCAUUGCAUUUUGCCAACACUCAUGUUCCAUGGCCUGUUUGUAGCAAGAGGGAAUAGAAAUAGUGGACAAAGUAGCAACAAGAGAUACAGGAGAGAAUAAUCCAUACCAAUCAGGGGGUCGAGAAAGACAAGUAGACUGAGGAAGAGUGGUGGAAGCAAGAGCAAGAUCAGGCGUUGGGUCAAGAUCAGAAGAGGACACAGAGAAAGUGGAAUUAGACUCAUGUCGACUACGUCUUUCAUACACAAAACCACAUUUGAACCUUUCCACAAUUGUUGGGAAUUCAGAAAAACUAGGCAGAAGAGAUACAAAUGCAGAUGGUAGCUCAACAUGAGAUGGAAAGAAAUAUUGAUUUUCAAAGAAAAUUACAUUCCGGGAAACUAGUAUACAACAAGCAUGGGGAUCAUAACAAACAUAACCCUUGUGAGGGAUAGCAUAACCAAGAAAAGCACACUUAACAGACUGAGCAGUAAGUUUAUGUCGUUUAUGAGUAGGUAGAUGCACAAAACAAACACAACCAAAUGUACGAAGAUCAGAAUAUAAAGGAGAAUGACCAAACAACUUAGAGAAAGGAGAAACAUGAUUUAACAUAGGAGAGGGCAAGCGAUUGAUCAAAUGAACUACAAUAGAAAGUGCUUCACACCAAAAAUGAGGAGGAAUAGAUGAGUCAAGUAAAAGAGAGUUCUUACCACAUUAAAAAGGUGGAAAAUUUUCCUCUUAGCAACACCAUUUUGUUGUGGUGUCGAAGGACAAGAAUGUUGAGAGAUGAUCAUUUUGCUUUGAAGAAAGUCCUGAAACUCAUUAGACAUGUAUUCUUCGCCAGAAUUAGAGCGCAAGACCUUGAUGCUGACAGAGAAUUGGGUCUCAAUAAGUGCAAGAAAGCGCUUAAAGACUGAAAAAACUUCAACCUUAGCCCGGAGAAAGUAAACCUAAGUAAAGCGACUAAAGUCAUCAAUGAAAGUAACAAAGUACUUGUAAUGUGCAUGAGAAACAAUAGGUGCAAUCCCCCAAACAUCACUAUAUAUAAUAUCAAAACAUUGUGAGGCACGAGAUGAAGAAUGAGGAAAAGGUAGAACUUUACUUUUGCCAAGUUUGAAUGAUGUGCAAUCGAAAGAAAGAUCAAGAGAAGAACAUGUUUUAUUUCCCAAUAAUCCAGAAUUAAACAAAGUACGAAGUACAUCAGAGUUUGGGUGGCCAAGAUGUCUAAGCCACAUCGUAUGUCCAGAACCAACAAAAUUACAUGCAAAGGAAAGUAAAGGAAAACUAGGAAUAAUAGUGGAAGGAAAAACAUGAAGAGGAAAGAGUCGUCCCACUUUAGGCCCCUUCGCGAUCAUCUUCCCGAACACUUGAUCCUACACAACACAACCAAAACGGGAGAAAUUAACAUUACAAUUAUUAUCAACAAAUUGACCAACAGAAAGAAGAUUUGUGAAGAGGUCAGAAGACAUAAAAACAUCAGUUAAGGGAGAAGAAAGAUCACCAACAACACUGAUAGGCAGAGAAUUGCCAUCAGUAGUGUUAAUUUUCAGAUUUCCAUCAUAAUUUCUAAGAUUGAAAAGAGAAAGAACGGUAUUCAUCAUAUGGUUAGAAGCUUCAUAGUCAAAAUACCAUGGCUUAGAAGAAAUCAUAUGAUUACCUAAGAGCCCAAAAGCAGAAAAAGCAUAAAUGAUCAUUAGUUGUACCAUUUCAGGAGUUAGUGUGUUCGGGUUUACUAAGGGUGUAGGAGCAAGAAUAGGAACAACCAAAGAGGCAAUAGGCAAUGCAGUAGAACUAGAGGCACUAGUGGAGGCAUGAUAAGCAAUACCCUGCUUCCUUUCAGGCCGAAUGGGACAAACAGAGAUGAUAUGACCUUGUUUCUUGCAGUAGUUACAGAACUUCUUAGGACAAUCCCGAGCAAUGUGACCAAAAUCUUUACAACUAAAGCACUGAACAACAUGCAUAUCUCGACCCUUAUUCCGCCUCUGUACUGCAUAAGCUACAGAAACAGGUGCACUAACAUUAACCUGAUGUUCCAUGGUAGCAUAAGUUACGAUACGCUGCUCCUCACACAAAAAUUCACUCAAGCAGGCAUCCAAAGAUGGUACAGGAUGACGAUUCAUCAUAUUAGACCGUGUAAUUUCAAAGUCGGGUCAUAGCUUCAUCAAGAACUGAUCUCGCUUGCUGGUUGCAUGCACUGCUUGGACAAUAGAGAGAGCUGCAACGGGAACAUUAGCAUAAACAAUGUCGGAAUAAUCAGUCCAAAGAGUUUGAAAACCAGAAAAAUAUUCCUCAAUUGAGAGACUUCCUUGUGUGAAAUUAGCCAUCUCAUACUCCAAUUGAAAAUGCCAGAAUUGUCUUGAUUGUAAACCGUGUGGAGAUAAUUCCACAUAGCAACAACAGUUUUAUAAGGCCUCAGAUUGAGAACAAGGUGAUAUUCAACCGAGCUAAGGAUCCAAGUCAUAACUCAAGCAUCCUUAAUUUCCCACUUAGACAAAGCCUCGACAUCACGAGGUGCAGGAUUACUCCCAUCAAUAUGACCCCAUAAUUCUUUUUCUUUGACAAAUAAUUUAAAUUGAAACUCCCAAGCACAAUAAUUUUUGCCAGUAAAUCUAAUAGGAAAUGAUUCCAACUUAUCUGAUGACAUGAUGCAUCUGAGAAACAAAGGAAAUAGCCCACUAGAAAAUUGGAACAAAAACGGUCAAGAACCAGGUCGCGAUGAACCCGAUCAACACUGUUUUCGAUGCCAAGCGUUUGAUUGGUAGAAGAUCACGAACUCCACUCAGAAGGUGUUGAAACCUUGCUCUAAUACCAUGUCAAAAAACUAAAAAAAAAAACUCCACAAAAAUCGAGAACUCUGAGAACUCUAAUUAGUUUUUUAUUCUCUGCAUCCAUCUAUAUAUAGAUAUAUAUCCUAUACAUGGAGUCUAAAUUCCUAAAUUGUAUAUGGUAACAUUAACAAAUACAUGGUAAGCCAAUCUGUCGAUAUUUUCCUAUGUGUACAACCGAUUUGAUUCCUAAUUUGUAUAUGCUAACAUUAACACCAAGUAGCUCAGAUAAGGUGAAGAGUUGCUCACUUAUGUUUGCCUUCGCUGAUUUUGAUAGAAAUGAACGUCCAAUCUUCUCAUCUUAUCUUCUUUUAAUCUUUUAUUAGAUUUGACGCCCAUUUCCACCAUUUAUGUCUUACAGGUUUUUCUUCAUUAAUUCAAGGAUUUAUGCUAUAGCAUUUGGAGUUGUGUUUGAUGUUUUACUUGGAUAUUCACAUAAGCACAUGAACUAAUUGACAAAAAUUAUCUAUGUUUUUCUAAACAUAUACAUUCACAUCGAAAAUGCUACCUACACAUCAUUUGAGUCUAUUCAUCCAAACAAAAUGAUCAUUUCAAGAUGUCCUGCAGCCUAUUCCAUUUGUUCAACACUUUCAACCGCAAUAACAACCAAUCGAAUAAAUCUUUCGGAGGAGGCUUUUAGAUUGAUUAAGGUUGAGCUUGCGUUGGUUUACAUUUUUGUGAACUCAUACACCUAUUUGUAAAGAAACCUCACUCCAAUGCCUAUUUGGAGUAUUACUCAUUUGGAGUGUUGGGAAGAAAAAUGAAUUGUGUGAUAUGCCUGCCACCACUUAAUAUUGAAGGUCACUUUAAAUUUGGAAAAAUCAUUGAACUAUAAGAUUAACAAAUAUAACAGCAAUACUUCUGAACAUGGUGAAGCUGAUAAAGCAUGCAUUCUGGGAUAUUGGAGGAUGCCAAAAAUUAAUAGCACCGUGGAUUAGUUUGCAAUUGCCAAUAUUAGUGCAUUAUCCAUGUUGGAAGUGUUGAAGAAGGUUGUCAAAGUAUAAAGUCAUGUUAUCAAUACCCUCCUUGUACAUCCUCAUCAAAACCAAGACAGAAUCAUGGUCUGGAAUUAGCUUUUGGGAAACCUGAUAAUGAAAAUAUUUAGUUAUCUAUUUAAGCUAUUUUUAGGUUUGAUGGUAACCUCUGUGAGAUUUCCAAGAUCUUAGUGUUUAUUUAGUCCAUCACCAAGUGAAGUUUAUGCUCAAAUUUCAAAUUGUCAAAACCAAAAUAACUUUUUAAAAUGUCUCCUCCAAUUACUUCCAUUCAAAUUGCUCACUUAAUGAUGAAAUAACCACAUAUCUAUGUUUUUCUAAACAUAUACAUUCACAUCGAAAAUGUUACCUACACAUCAUUUGAGUCUAUUCAUCCAAACAAAAUGAUCAUUUCAAGAUGUCCUGCAGCCUAUUCCAUUUGUUCAACACUUUCAACCGCAAUAACAACCAAUCGAAUAAAUCUUUCGGAGGAGGCUUUUAGAUUGAUUAAGGUUGAGCUUGCGUUGGUUUACAUUUUUGUGAACUCAUACACCUAUUUGUAAAGAAACCUCACUCCAAUGCCUAUUUGGAGUAUUACUCAUUUGGAGUGUUUGGAAGAAAAAUGAAUUGUGUGAUAUGCCUACCACCACUUAAUAUUGAAGGUCACUUUAAAUUUGGAAAAAUCAUUGAACUAUAAGAUUAACAAAUAUAACAACAAUACUUCUGAACAUGGUGAAGCUGAUAAAGCAUGCAUUCUGGGAUAUUGGAGGAUGCUAAAAAUUAAUAGCACCGUGGAUUAGUUUGCAAUUGCCAAUAUUAGUGCAUUAUCCAUGUUGGAAGUGUUGAAAAAGGUUGUCAAAGUAUAAAGUCAUGUUAUCAAUACCCUCCUUGUACAUCCUCAUCAAAACCAAGACAGAAUCAUGGUCUUGAAUUAGCUUUUGGGAAACCUGAUAAUGAAAAUAUUUAGUUAUCUAUUUAAGCUAUUUCUAGGUUUGAUGGUAACCUCUGUGAGAUUUCCAAGAUCUUAGUGUUUAUUUAGUCCAUCACCAAGUGAAGUUUAUGCUCAAAUUUCAAAUUGUCAAAACCAAAAUAACUUUUUAAAAUGUCUCAUCCAAUUACUUCCAUUCAAAUUGCUCACUUAAUGAUGAAAUAACCACAUAACAUCCAAAGUUGAUACUAAAACACUAAGUUCUUCCAUUCAAAUCAAUCAUUUAUCAUCUAAUUCUUCUCUUCUGACUCCUUAAUUGAAAAUGUUUAUGAACCUGAAUUUGUCUCAGACCUUCUUCAUUUUAGGAUAAAUUGAAUCAUGGACUAGCAUUGUAUUGCCCUUGUUCUAAUAUUGUAUCCAGCUCCAGUAUGACCGAUCUAUGUCUUCAAUGUCCACAAUACAAGUGGCAACUUUUAAAAUGCAAAAAGGAAGAGCAAGGAUCUUAACCUUAUUUUUGCUUUAUUGAAUUCAAUUUGAUCCAAAAAAUUAUGAAUGAACAAAGCGGAUCUCCCAAAAUUCUUCUGUCUCAUGUGCUACUGAUUUGAGUAUAUAUAUGGUAAUUGUCAGCCCCUUAGAGCCUUGACUUAACCAUGGAGGAAUAGGCCUCAUGGGUAGGCCUUGCACCCAUGAGAGUUUAGGAUGAAAGCAGGGAAAUCCUAGAGGUUUGGUGGUUCAAACUCCAGGAGCCAUGUGAGGAGGUCGCGAGCGAGCCAGACGCGCACCACGGGCGAGCCAGACGCGCAUCGUGCACGCACUGUGGGCGAGCUAGACAUGCACUGCGUGCGCACCAGAUGGGGAUCGCACCGCACCUGACUUAGGUGGUGCAAAUGAAGGCUGAGGGACUUGGAAUUUUAAUUUAUAAUUAAAAUUAUUAUUCCAUUAUGCAUCCUCAGACAUAUUGAUGUCUCCUCAAGAAACAAUGAAAACGGCCCGUCUUGCUCUUUAAGGGGGGGGGGGGGGGGGGGGGGGGGGGGGUAGUUAAUCCAAAGGGGGAGCCCCCCAAAAAAACCCUUAACCCCCCCGGGGGGGCCCUGGGNNNNNNNNNNNNNNNNNNNNNNNNNNNNNNNNNNNNNNNNNNNNNNNNNNNNNNNNNNNNNNNNNNNNNNNNNNNNNNNNNNNNNNNNNNNNNNNNNNNNGGGGGGGGGGGGGGGGGGGUAGGUGACUCAAAGGAGGGAGCCACCAAGAGAAGCCUUGACCGCACCAAGGGGGCACCAUGGCACGGCCUUGGGCGAGCCUAAGACACACGACACGACUCGAGCACGCACACAUGGGCUCCACGACAUGUGUGGUGUGCACCCCGUGGCCGCAACGGCAUGGGGCAUGGUGAGGCCUACCCCCUCCCCGUGCAGGCACGAGGGCGCCUAAGCCUUGUGCGGUGAGCAUGCUGAUAAAACCAUGGGCGCAAUGCCACGGUCUGAUGGCUCCAAUAGGUGACUCGCACCAAGUUGCCUACGCACAGCACAGGGGCGCUAUGCCCUGUGUACCAAGAAGGAUUGGCCAUGGGCGUAAUGCCAUGGCUCGUUGCUGGGAAGCUGGGAAGCAAGCAACAAGCCCAAGCCAUGGGCACCUAGACGGGCUCACACAUCAGUGUGGGGAAGGCGCACUGAUGCACCAGAUGCUUGGUCAGAUGGUUGAGGCACGCUGCCUGACUCAGAGGGUCUUGAUCAAAGACAUGCUGAUGGGCAACCGGUCACAAGAGACACCUUACGGGGGAGGGGUCGGCUUGUUAGGGGAACUCACUAGCAGCUUGGUGAGCAAUACCUGAGGAGAUGGCAGUGUAACUAGCUAGUGGCAGCUAGCUCAGUGACCAAGUCAAGCCGUCAUUUGACCUGCAAUUGGCUAAGGGAUGAUGACUGGUGCAAGUGGGUGGCAGGAGCAGACCACUAUCUAGAUGAUGGGUGGUUAUGCAGGGCAGUUGAGGGUGGUUCAAGCCAGUUGCAUAAACCACCUAGUUGGCUCCAAGAUUUGAAUUAGGAAAUUCAAAUUUGUAACUGCAGCUUGAGUCUUUUAAAAGGGCUCCUGCAGCCUUGAAACAGAGAGAGAGAGUUUGGGGAAAGGGUUCCUUCUCGUAUGCCUUGGGUAAGAGCAUUGUACUCUGGUUCAGGAAGCAAUUUUGUCUUGUAAGAGUGAUUAAUACAAGUUGGGAAAGGAUUCCCGUAACCUUGUGUGUCCCUGUUGCUUUGUUAUUUUUGUGUUCUACUCUGUUCUUCUAAACACUGGGAAGGAAAGGUUGGCUAAGGAAGGGUCCUUAGCACCGCACACUUGUGAAAAAUUAAGUGUGAUAAUCAGGGGUGUGACAGUAAUCAUCAUAGGUCAGGUCCAUUAAUUUCAGUAUAAAUUCAUAAAGCCUAUGAACCCCAAUACGCAAUUUGCUUUCGAUCCAUUGAAGAGUCCAUGAAACUCUACAAGAGGCGUCACUACAAAACCAUUACUUUUCCUAUUUUAAUUUUACAAAUAAAAAGAUUUGGAUAAGUUGAUUUUACAAAUACUUUUCUAUUUUAAUUUUGUAAAAAUAUUUGUACAUUUAAUUUAUAUAUUAUUAAUUAAAUUUAAUUCAAAAUUAUAAAAUACAUUUAAAAAUAAACAUUUUUAGUAAAGUAUAAAUACAAAUUUUUAAUAAAAUCACAUAUUAUAUUUUUCAUAUAAAUGAUAUUAGUUUAGCAUAUAUUAUAAAAAUAUGGAUAAAUUGAAUUUUUUUUCAAAAUAAAUAAUUAUAAUAAUUUAAAAUUAAUAAUGAUUAAUAAUAUUUUAUUUAAAAUAAAUUUUAAAACAAAAAAUUAAUUAAUUUUUUCAUAUAUAAAUAAACCAAAUUUUUUUUAGUUACAUAUACACAUUUAACACUUAAUUAUGAAGAGAGUAUUUAGAACUAUUUUUUAUUUAAUAUGCAAUUAUUCAUAUCAAUUUUUAAUUAAAUUAUUUUUAAGAAUUAAAAGAUUCAUUAAAUAAUUUAAAGUAUUGAAUCUCAUUUGAUUUAGAAUCUAUUUAUUUAGUGGAAAUUUUUUUUAAAUAUAAUUAUUUAUAUACCAUAACUAAUAAAGUCAUAACUCAUUAUGUAUUAGUUUUAAUCUAUUGUCUUUGACACUGAUUGGAUUUGAGUUCCAAUUUAUUUUUCAAAAUUAUUCAACUCAUUAAUAAUUCAAUACAUUAAAUCUCACUUAAUUUAAAAUAUAUUUUUCUAAUAAAAAAUUCAUAAAAAAUAUAGUUAUGUACAAGAAAAAUAAUAGUCCUUUUAGACCAAUUUUAAUGAACGAAUUUUCAAUUACUAACUUCUAAAUAAUUUCAAAAUUAAGUAAUACAAGUGAUUGGAGUUUAUUUGUAUAAUGAGAAAAUUUAGAAAAAUAUUGUUUUAUUUAGAAAAAAAAUCAAUAGAGUUAUUUUAAACUACUGACUUCUAAAUAAUUUCAAAUUUAAGUAAUACAAGUGAUUGGAUUUUAUUUUUCUAAUAAGAAAAUUUAGAAAAAUAUUGUUUUAUAUAGAAAAAAAAAUCAAUAGAGUUAUUUUAAACUACUGACUUCUAAAUAAUUUCAAAUUUAAGUAAUACAAGUGAUUGGAGUUUAUUUGUAUAAUGAGAAAAUUUAGAAAAAUAUUGUUUUAUAUAGAAAAAAAAUCAAUAGAGUUAUUUUAAACUAAUUUUUAUUUAUAAAUUUCUUGUAUUACAUAGUUUACUAUUUGAGUUUCAAAUUAUUUUUAAAACCUAUUAAACUCGUUAAUGAAUCAAACACAUUAAAAGUUUUUUAUUUGGAGUUUUUUUGCCUUAGUAAAAAAGGAAAUUUACAAAGAUAUAGUUAUACAUAAAAAAUAAAAAAAAUUAAAAAUAAAAACUUACAAAAUCAUUCAAAAUAAAUUUUGAUAUGUAAAUUUCUAAUAUUAACUAGGCUCACCUUUAACAUCAACGGCUUUCUAGUACUAACUGAAUUAAUUUUUUAGUUUAAUAAAUGUUAUGUUUCAAAUAUCACUAGAUUAGAAAUUUAUUUUCUUAAUCAAAAUAAUUUAAAUAUCGAAGUUAAAAGAAGUUCACAAACUACGUAUAUUUAAGAAAAUAAAUCAUCUUUGAAAUUUUUUUAUAUUGGUUGAUGGAGAGAGAAUAAAUAUAAAAUAAAAUUGUGUCAUAAUUUAUUUGUUUUUGUGAUUUCUUUUCAUGCUAUUAUUUAUUUCUCAUAUUUUCCUUAAAGAAAAGGUAAAAAAAACUUUUACUUAAUCUCUCAAAUUGUUCUCCAUUUCACUUUAUUUUAAAAAAUUGUUUUUAGAAAACAACUUCCAAACCACUCAUAAAUUUUUAACAACAAAAAAUUAUUUUUAAAUCAUAUCAUCACCCGAGCUAUUGUACGGUUCCCUUUUUUUUUCUUGUACUUCACCUUCUUAAUUUUAUUACGGUUAUAUUUAAAUGGAAUCAAAAUAUGCAAUAAAUAAAAUAUAAGAGCGUUAAAUAAAUUAAAAUGAUCAAAGGAUGAAAAUAAAAAUAAGAAAAAGGAAAACCAAAAACAAAAAUAAAAUAAUAAUGGUAAUAAUAAACAAAAAAAAAAUGUAAAUGCAUGGAAACAAAAUUAGAAGUCUAAAUUCUCCUCAAGCCAACCCAUGAAAAAACACGCAGUGCAAGGAUCAAGGAUCUAUUUCUUCGUCAAUGUUAACUAAUUGUUAAUAAAUGAAAAUUGGUAACCAUCAAACCGCGGCAGGACUCGAUCAAAUUAAUUUAUACCUUUAUAUACAUCAUUAAUCCACCUAACAAAUUAGCAAAUUUAAAUUAAUUUACUUAAUAAAAAAACAAUUUUAAAUAAACUGAUAUUUUUAGUAUGAGAUUCACAUAUAGAAAAAUAUUUCAACUUCAAUUGGAAUAUUUUAAAAAAAUAAAAAAUAAAUAAAUAAAUAAAAACUGCAUGUACAUAACUCUUGAGUAUCUAAUGUUUACCUCUUCAAAAAGGUGUUUUGAGUUUUAUACAGAGGAUUACAUAUACCGCACUGGCUUCUUUAAUACUUAGUAGAAUUUCUCAUUUUGUCCAAGAAACUCACAACCCAUUUCCCACCUUAUCUUUCUCAUGUGGAAACAUAACCUUUCCUCUUAAGUUGACUCCCUUGUUUUACAAGUGUUUCAAGAAGAGCUAGCCUACCAGUGUUCCUCUUAGAAAAAUGGUGGAAGCAGUCCAUUGUCUCUCAUAGACAAAAAGAAAAUGAUGGUAUUGGGUGGUCAAUAUGUGGUGGUCACUGUAAGUUGGCUUUCAGAGGAAAAUAUAUAUAUAUAUAAAGAGAGAGGAAAGGAGAAAAGACGUCAAGGGGGAAUGUUCUUAGAAAGAGAAGAUAAAGGUGGUGAGUAUGAAUUGGGUUGGAAAUUAAAAAGGAAAAUGAGUAUUUAAAGUGAAAAGGAAGGACAAAAUGAUCAGGGAAAGACUUAAUUUUACUUGUUAGUUCCCAGAUUUCCUUGCAAUUGUGAGUUUAUUACUAAGGCCGCCUCCACUCAGUCCUUUGCUGUUCUCGGCCGGCUUCAUCUUGGAAGUAUGAAAUGGCUAUUGAGUUUCGUCGGGGGCAUGGUCGCCUACAGCUUCCUGUAAGAACAAUGAAAAUUUGAUCAAGUCUGCAAUAUCAUCUCCCCUUUUGUGAUCCUCCUCAGAUGACUGAUUAUUAAAUAUUUAUGCGUUAAUAAUUAUUUCAGUAGUUGUUUACUUUUAUUAAUCAUCCUCCAGCAUUAUAUUGAUAUUUUGUCUGAGUUUUUUCUUUUUUUCUUUUUUUUUUUCCCUUGGUUUAGUUUAUAUGUUCUUGCUCGGAUUGAAAAGAAAAAUCCACACGUCUUGAUAAUUAUUAAGAUAUGUUUUAAUUAAGAUUUGUGUGAAAGCCUUUCUGUUGCUUUCCCCGCAGAAAAAUGCUGGCUGAAUACUCUACAAGGAAGCAAAGGGAGGAGGCGUGGAGGAUGAUGGCAGAGGGUAGAAAUGAAGAAGCUAAGGAGAUGCGGCAUAGAAACUCUACGAUGAAGAUGAACGACACACCAGACUGGGACACUAUAGAUCGGUCGGAGGUAGAUGACUCACGAGAUUUGGUGAAGCUAGUCUUGUCGAGGGUCAUAGAGAAACUCUGUGUUGUGUGGAUUCAAGAACCAGCAGUUUUCGUUGGAGUUGAAGAAGAGGUCCAAUGGAUCCAAAGAGAGUUGAUGCACGCUCGGCUAAAAUAUACUUAUGUCCCAGAACAAUUAAUGGAUGUUGCCUAUGAUUUUGAAGAUGUGAUUGAUGACCUUAUACUCAGAUCAGCCGCAAAGCAAAGGAGAAUAGGAAACUGGGAGAGGUGCCUUUUGUUAAUAAGAAUUCACAAGAAGCUGGAAUUGAUCAAGUCUAAGAUCCCUGAUCUUCCUCGUCUCUCAUAUUGUUCGGAAGCAUGUAGUGCCUGCUCCUUUAACUACAGUAUUGAAGAAAUAGUCUGGUCAGGCAUCUUCUUGAUACAUGGUCAGAGUGUGGCAAACACGGUUGUUUCCCCAGUGGAAGAGAAGGUAUCAGCUCUGCUAGCUCAGGAGGCAAUUCAUCCCUAUACCAAGAAGAAGGCCAUGCGGGUACUAGACAAACUCAGGUCUCUGAAUGGUUUUCUCAAAGGCUUAGAAUCAGUAGAAUUAGAUGAUGGUGGAAUGGUUUGGAUGGAGGAGCUGUCCCAUGUUUGCCUGUCUGCUGUGGUAGCCAUUGAGGACUUCAUCAACAGAACACAACAGCUCACGAAAAGAAGUUCGAUGGGACCUUCCAAGGGAUUUCUUUCGGCUUUUGGCAAAUUGAAAUCCAAGGAUAAGCUUGCUGUGGAGAUGGACAAAAUAUAUGCCAAGAUCCAAAACCUCUCUAUUCACCGGCCAACAGCAGUCAACCCACAAGGUCAAAGUAGGAACCCAACGUCUACCUUGGGUUCCACCGAGCGAAUCCCACGGCAGCCAACAACGCAAGAACCUGAUCUCGCCAGCUUUGGUGAUGAUGUGCAUGCAAUGAUAGCACGGUUGCUUACAGAUGAUCAGAAUUUCAGAGUGAUUCCAAUUAUGGGUAUGCAAGGCAUUGGAAAGACAACCCUAGCAAAUUUGAUCUUUAACCAUAAAGCUGUUGUGGAUCAUUUCCCCUUUGCUGCUUGGAGGUCAGAUGGCUAUCGAUUUCAGGUACGUAACAAGGGAGAAUUGUUGCAGUCCGGUCGAAGUCAAUGCAGAGUGUGGAGUAAUCAAUACGAGAUGCAACGGUUGAUACCUUUCUUGAUUAAUGACAGGUCUCUGAUAGUUGUCGAUAAUUGGAAUUUCUUGGUCGACGACCUAGAAAUGCUUCCAGAUGCAUUAAAUGGCAGUAGAAUUAUUUUGACCACUUGCGAAACAAAGCUACCUCCAAAUCUCAAAAUGAAGAGUGAUCCUCACCCACUGCGGUUACGGACAGAUGAGGAGAGUUGGGCAUUGUUUACCCAUGCUUUGAAAUUUAGCAUACCCCCAGAAUUGCUAAAGCUGAAAGACGAAAUUGCAAAAAGAUGUGGGGGACUGCCACUGCUGAUUGUAAAAUUGGCGGAAGCACUCUCACAUAAGGAUGCAACCAUUGAGGAGUGGUCCACUGCACUUCAACAAUUUCAUCAUGACCAACAGCAACUUUGGCCCAAUACCCUCUACAAGAUCCAUAAGGAUUUGUCCUUGUACAUGAGGAGAUGUCUAUUUUAUUUCACUCUAUUUCCUCAAGAUUUUGAUAUUCCGGCAAGAAGAUUGAUAACAUUAUGGGUUGCAGAGGACUUGGUACAGCCAGAGGGCGAGAAUGAAACUCCAGAAGAUGUUGCAGAAAGGUGUUUGAAUUUGUUGAUAGCCCAGGGAAUGGUUCAAGUGACAAAGAAGAAGCUUAAUGGGAAUGUUAAAAUGGUGCGAUUGCCAGAAGCCCUAAGACAAUAUUGGUCAUCCAAAGCUCAACAAGCCACAUUUCUUGGAGUUCAUACUAACACAAGAUCUGAGUUGUCCCUAGGCACCAAUAAGAUCCGUCGUCUCGUUGAUCAUCUUGACAAAGAAGAUAUCAGCUUUGACCAUAUUCAUGGUAAUCACAACACAACUUCUAGUACUUCUUUGACACCUUAUUACGAAGAUGUACUUUCUUUUCUGUCCUUUGAUACUCGAAAAGAAAGCAAACCAGGAGAAGAAGUGGGAAACUUUCUUCGUCAAAGCAUAUCCAGUGGUUGCUUCCUAGUACUGCUCGUGCUUGAUCUCGAAAAUGUAUUCAGACCAAAGUUACCUGAGGCAAUGGGCAAACUUACUCGACUAAGGUACCUUGGCUUAAGAUCUACAUUCCUCGAGAUACUUCCAUCAUCUAUAAGCAAGUUGCAGAAUGUUCAAACACUGGACAUGAAGCAUACUUGCAUCAACACUCUUCCUAAUUCAAUCUGGAAUCUACAACAAUUGCGACACUUACACUUGAGUGAGAGUUGUCGAAGUAAACUUAUCCUUCAACAUGAUGCAAAUUUUCCUACAAUCCUCCAAACAUUGUGUGGGCUUCUUGUAGAUGAGGAGACUCCCGUAAGAGAUGGCCUAGACAGGUUACUCAAUAUUAGGAAAUUGGGACUGACAAUAUCAUCUAAACAAGAGGCAAUAACAUUGCAACUGCAGGCAGUAGUUGACUGGGUUCUAAAACUGAACCAACUCCGCUCUUUAAGGCUCAAAUCUAUUGAUGAAAGCAAUCAGCCAUGGGAUCUAGAGUUGAAGCCUUUAGUAAGCCUUGUGAAUCUUUCUUACAUUUACUUGCUCGGACGGUUAAGGAAUCCAUCCAUUAUGUCCCAAUUCCCAUACAGCCUCAUCGACCUCACCUUAUCAGGGUCAGGACUUGUAGAAGAUCCAAUGCAGUCACUGGAUAAGCUUCCCAACCUUAGAAGUCUUAAAUUGCUUGCCAAAUCUUAUUUAGGGAAGAACAUGCUUUGCUCUUUAGGAGGCUUUCCUCAGCUUCGAGUUCUUAAACUAUGGAAGUUAGAGCAACUGGAGCAAUGGAAUGUAGAGAAAGGAGCACUACAAGCUCUCCGAGAUUUGGAGAUUAGGUUCUGCAGAAGUCUGAAAAUUCUUCCUGCAGAAUUGCUACAUAGAACUCUCUUGAAAAUUGAAAUUAUAUCUGCCCAGUAAGUUCACUACUUCAUCUCUUGAAAUUUGGUUUAUAACCUACUUUAACAUGAGAUGAUUGCUUGGGUAACAAACAACCUGAUAAGCCAUUGUGUUUUCUUUCUUUCUUUUUUUUGUUUGACUAGGGUGUGAGAAGCUGAGCGAGAAGGUUCUGGUCUACUUCUUCGUGUUGGGCUUUGCUUUCCAUUUCAAUGUUUUUGCUGUUGGAGCAGAUAUUCAAAUACUCAUGAGGGCAGUUCUCAGUUGCAACAAUUUAUAGAGCUCAUUUUUUUUAAUAUGGUUUCCAUCCCUUCUGCUCAUUAUUCUGUUCUACCAUUGAUGCUAUGUUUUUGUCUUUCAAACCUUAAAUGCAUACUGUAUUGUACUUGUUAGUAGAUUCUAUAACUAGUGUUUGUGAACUGUAGAAUCAGGGCAUCAUGAACACAAUGGUGUUGUGGGUGUGAAUGUUAUAGAAUUUUGGUUUGUGAUUGUAUUUGGAUUGAAUGGAGUAUUUUUUUCUUUCAGUUGAUGUUUAUCGGAUAGAAUUUAACCAGUCUGCUGGAAUGCACAUAGAGAGAAAAUAACUAUUCUCCUCUUGCCCAGAUGGAUGAAGGAAAGUAAGAUUAAUCCUCCACCUUUCUGUAGCUUAUUUUGUAAGUGUAUUAGAUUCAAAGUCUUCAAAUACGUUAUAUUAAUAUAUCAAAGAAAUACUUCCUGUUGCUCACAAGCUCAGAUCAGAGCCCACCAUGGCUUGCAUGGCCGCUUACAUGCCCUGCCCAUUCCAAUAGUUAGUCCAUUUAGUCCAAAUACAAUCUCAAAGCUUACACCCUUUCCUUCUUUUCAAUUUAGAAGAGCCUACCACUACAGAUUUGGACAUUGGAUCAUACAAUAUAAUUAUGGGGCAAUAGUUACAACACCCAUUUGAAAUGGGAUUCAUCCACCUCCAAACCAAAGCUGCUGGUUAUUGAAGGAGAAGAACAGAGAGUUUCUCUAACAACCUCCAUCCAAUGCUUCCUGACAUGAGAUAUCUAUCUCUGUCCUGCUUCCUUAACUUCAAUCUGUUCCAUCUGCUUCUUCUUCUUUUGGUAUGGUCAGUAUGGGGGUUCUGGAAAUGAACAGCAGAGCUUUCACCCAAGUGAGACAUUUGGUUUUGGAAUCAUACAUUUAGCUUGUGGUUUGGGUGUUUGAAACAGGGCAAUUAAAAUACAGUUUCCAGAAUGCCAGAAAAAUUUAAGGCCUAAAUUCAUGGACAAGUAUAGGUCAGAAACUAUUGAGCUUUAAGAUUUCACAGGGGAAGAGUAAUAUAACUGGCAACUGCAAUACGUCAUUCUGAUAUAGCUGCAGGAAGCAGCCUUUCCUGCACUACAGCCAUUCUGCAUGAGGCUUACUACUUUUUCAGCACUUUCAAGCCCUUAAUUGGAGCUCUCCUUCAUUCUUUUUCCAAAAUAUGCCUUGGGAGUUUUUCCCAGAGAGGAAGUACAUAACAGCUAGAAACCAAGCUGUACAUCCUCAUCAAAAGCAAGACACUCCUGAAUUAUUUUUUGGGAAUCCCAAUUAUAUAAACACUGGUUCUCUAUUUAGGUUAUGUACAGACUUGUUAGCAGCCUUAGGUGGAGACUUUCAGGAUCUUAGUGUAUGUUUGGUCAUUUCCAAGGCAAACAUAUGCUAAAAUUUCAAAUUGUCAAAAGACAAUAACUUUUGUAAAUGUCUCUUCCAAUCCCAAACAGAUACUUAAACACUGCAAAGUUCUUCCAUUCAAAUCAUUUCUCUAUCAUUUAAUUAUUCUCCUCUCGAAUUGUUAAUUGGAAAUGUACAUGAACCUGAAUUUGUCUUAUCUUUCUGUCCUCCUUCAUUUUGGGAUUAAUUGCAAAACAACUGUAUUUCACAUGUUCUGGUCCUGUAUCCAGCACCAUUAUGACCGGUCUAUCUCUUCAGUGUCCACAAUACAAGGGAAAUUUCUAAAAUACAAAGAGGCAGAGAAAGGAUCUUAAUGUUGGUUCAUUCAGACCUCCCAAAAUUCUUCUUGCCCUCUCAUGUGCUGCUGAUUUGAGUAUGAAGUAAUUAUCAUAAGUCAUGUUCAUUAAUUUCAGUACGAAUCCAUAAAGCCUAUGAACCCCAGUACACAAUUUACUUCUGAUCCAUUGAAGCUGUUCUUCAACUUCAAACAAAGCUUCUGGUUCUCAAAGAAGCAGAAAAGACCCUCACUCUGUCACCCUCCAUAUAACACACUCUGCUUCCUACAUCAUCAUUCCGAAAAUCUGUCUGUCUGUAUGGUCCUUAGGGAAGUGAACAAGAAAGCUUUCACAGAAUAGAGCCUUUGGUUUUAGUACCACAAAGUUUAGGCUGUGAAUGAAACAAGAGCAAUAGAAAUAGAGUUAAACAAAAUGUCAGCAAGAUUGACCUUGAUUACUUGAUUGUUGCCUGCAAGCACAUGGAUUAUACUCUGCCUUCUUAGCCAUGCAAGGGCUAAGCUGCUUGCAAUUUAAGACUGUUAAUAAAACUUGAAGGGAAUGAGAAUGUCCUAGUUGAUAAGGUGAUGUAGGACAAAAGACCAUUUUACUUUCCUUAUUAACAAUAUAUAUAUAUAUAUAUAUUGGAUUCUUUUGCCUAGGACAAAAGAGAACUGCAACACAAAAUACAAUAGACAUCCAAUUGUUGAUGAUCAAAGGAGAGAAUUACAACCUUGUUUAGCAUUCGACAAGCUGAGCUCAAAUUUAUUUCUUUAAGCUUGGUUAGAGGUUGUGUCCUCAACUAUAGACUGUAUCUGAAGAAUAUGAUAUUGUGAGUUAAAAAAAAAUUAAUCCCAAAAAAAUAACAUAUAUUAUCUGCUUCCCACAGCUCCGAAGCUAUCAUGUCUGCUGAACAAUCAGAGUAUGAUUAAUUGCAAUACCAAGCAAAGGAAGACCUCUACUCUGAUAAUAAGGAAGACUAAAGCUUUUCAAGCCCUUUGUCUCCACCCUUUAGCAAGGGCCCAUUGGUGACAGUGAUACAAGAAACAACAAUAAUUGUAUCAUUUGCAUGAUGCUUUCCACUUUUUCAACGCUUUCAAGUGCUUAUUUGUAGAUCUAAUUGUAAGAUUUUAAGACUUGCAAAAACAAGCAAUCCCUUAUUCUGAAUAAAUCUUGGGAGGAGGCUUUCAGAGUGAUUGAGGUUGACCUUGCAUUCAUGUAAAAAUUUUCAAAACCCAAUUUAAUCCACACAUCUAUUUGGUGAACAGAAAAACUCUCAUUUCAAUGCCUAUUUGGAGUAUUUGUCAUUUGAAGGAGAGUACCGGCUGUGAAACAUAAAAUGUGUGACAUGCUUAACAUGACAUAUAGAAAGUGUUUGGCAAGAAAAUGUGAAUUAUAUGACAUACCUUGCCACCAUGUACUUAACAUUGAAGGUUACAUUAAAUUUGAAACGAAUCAUUUAAACCAUAACAGUAACAAAUACAACCGCAAUAUUUCUGAAUAUGGAGGUGACAAACUAUCCAUUCUGAGACAUUAAAGGAUGCCAAAAAUUAAUAACAAGUCGUGACGGCUGUGAGACAUUGGAGUAAUUUGCAGUCAUUGACAUUAUUGUAUCAUCCAUUUUAAGAAUAAUGUAGUUGAAAGUUAUCAAAUAUUCAAGCAAUCACACAAAAUAAGCUUUGGCUAGAGAAAGUCUCAGACAAUACUAAAAUUUAAAAAUAAGUUAUUGCAACCAAAUGUUACAACAAGAAAACACUAUUCAGCGUUUGUCUCCUCUGUCAUCAUAAUAAAUAUUAUGCUCUAUUACGUCUUUGUUAAAUUAAGUUCAAAAGUUACAUCCAGAGAAUUGAUGGUGUAAUUCAUCUUAUCUAGAUAUGUUUUAACAAUACCUUCCAUUUACAUCAUUACCAAAGUUAAGACAAAUCAUAUUUUCUUGCAUUAGCUUUUGGGAAUCCACAAUAAUAAACACAAGUUCUCUCUUUAGACUAUGUCUAGGCUCGUUGGUGGCCUUCUGUGGGGCCUUUCUAGAUCUUCGUAUAUAUUUGGUCCAUCUCCGAGACAAGCUUAGGCUGACAUUUAAAAUUGUCAAAAGUCAAAACAACUUUCCUAAAGGUCUCUCUUCCAAUUCCCUUUUAAGUUGUUUCCUUCUAUUAAUGAAUAUCCCAAUGGCAUCCAAAGCAGAUACAUAAACACUGAAAAGCUCACCCAUUUAAAUCAUUCUUUUAUCAUCUAAUUCUUCUAACUCUUUCACUCUUAAUCAAUCCUUUAAACAACUUAAUUUUUUUUCCCAUAAUAGGACUAUUUUGCCCCAAAACUGUAUUUUAGCCCCCUGUAACUUUCUGAAAGAAGAAAAAACAAAUCAAAGAAAAAUAAACAAAAACCGACAAGCCCUCUAUAAAAGACCUAACAAUAACAAAGGGAAGGAUCUUCAUAAACAAAACUAAGAAAGAAUUGCAAGAAGUUGAUUACUUGAGCAACUUCACCAACCAAAGUUGUUGAUUCCCCAAGGAGCAAAAUAGAAAGUUUACCUAUCACCCUAUGUACAAUGCUCUCCAUAUACCGGUUCUACUUCACCAUUAUCAAACUGUCAUAGCCCUUUUUCUUCUUCUUCUGGUAUACUCACUGAGGAUUUUGGAAAUUCCAAAGCUUUCUCACUAAUGAUGCCUUUUUGUUUUGGAACAACAAAUUUAGCUUGUGGCACGGGUGAAUGAAACAAGGCAUUUAAACUAUAUAUACAGUUUACAGAAUGCCAGCAUAUAUUAAGGCCUAAAUGACAAAAGAUAGCCCCCAAUUACUCAGAUGAGGUUAAAUUUUGUGUGUCAAUUUGUCACGCCCCAAAACCCACUCCAAGGGCAUGACGGUCAUUUCACACUUCAAGCCCAAAAGCUCAAAGCGGAAACAACACAAACAUUCAUAUUGUAACUGAAAAUUUACCAAUUACCAAAUUCCUAUUCAGAAUAGUAGAACAAAAAUUCUAAAAUCUCCAAAUAAUAAUUUUUUUUAAACUAACACAUCAAACCAAGUGUUAUUAUCCAAAUAACUCCAAACUCAAAUAAUACUAAUGGAAAACAAAUUUUAACAUCUAAACAAUGCUAAAAAAUAAAAUCAUUUCAUAUCAAAUACAAUUCAAUUGUUUUCACACUGGUUAUCAAAUAACAAGUGUCCAUUUAAGUGGGACUUUACAAAUAGGUGGUUAGCCUCAAAUGUUCCUUUUAAGGUGGACGGAACCAAAUACUACUAGUACUAGUAACCUCUAACCAAACCCUUAGAGGUUAGGGUCCAAAUCAAUUACAUUUCCCACCAUGAAAAUGUAAAGAUCAACUAUUAUAUCCCAUUGACAAGAGCCAAAAAGUCAACUAUUAUAUCCCGUUGACAAGGGUUGAAAAAACUAGAGUCAAAUUCUUUAUUUUAUUUAUUCCAACUGACAAAAGUAGAAAAUCCCCAAGUAUUUCGAUAUAAACAAAAUAAAUGUUAUAACACAUUUUUUUCAUACAAAAAUAUAUUUGAUCCAUGCUUAAAAUAAAAAUUAACAAUUACACAUUUCAAAAAACAUAUAUAUAUAUAUAUAUAUAUAUAUAUAUAAUUUUUUUUUUUACAAAAUCUGUAUUAAUUUCCCUUACCUCAAAAGAAGUCCUCAAAAACUUUGGAGAAAAAUAAUUCUAGAAAAUCUACUCUUCACCUAACAAAGUAUAAGAGAAAUAACCAUUAUUAUUUAUCUAAAAUUAUAGAUUUGACAAUCCUAAAAUUUUAGAUAUUCAAAUUAAUGUUUUUAAUUAUGAAAGAUAAUUUAAUCUAUUCCUAUUUAGAAAAAUUUAUAAAUUUCUAAUUCAUAUAAAACUUAAAUUUUAUUUUCAAUUUUUUUUUUAGGACAUGACAUAAUUUAAUUAAACUACAAUUUAUUUCACUAAUUAAAUUUUAUGCUACUUAUUAAUUUAAUAUUUAUCAUUAAUCUAAUUAUAAUACUAUAAUUUAACUAAUUUGUACUUCACCUCAUUUAUUAUACAUAAUUAUUUCUACCACUUUCAUAUUUUUCUAAACACAACUACUAUUAACACUCACACAAUCCAUGUAUAGUGCAUGCCUCAUUAUUAUUAUCACUUUCAUCAUUCUUCUAUCUUCCCGUUCUCACACGCAUGCAACUCUUUUUUUUCAUCAUUCUUCUAUCUUCCAGUUUCCACACGUAUGCAACAUUUUUUUUUUUUUUGCUAUUGUGACAGUUUCAAAACCUAUUUAUUAUUAUUACACACUAUUAGAAAUCACCCAAUACAUUGAAAUCUUAUAAUUUUUUUUUUCACUCCCACAUAUAAUAAUAUAUUUAUUUACUCAUUUAAUUUUUGAAAUCCAUUGCUUAGAUCUAUUCAUCUAAGAAAUUUUGAAUUUCCCUAUUUUCAUCAAUAAAAAAACCUAUAUUUCUAAUUUCAAUAUUUUGACCUAAAAGUUUUAAAAUAAAUUAACCCUAGCCUAAAUCGAAAUCUUCCAAAGAAUUUUUUUUUUCAUCUAAAAACUUAAGAUUUCCCAAUUUCCAACAAUAAAUUAAAAAAAAUUCAAAGAAUAACUAGCGUGUUCAGAACUAACUAACAAAUAUAAUAUAUUAAUUUAGGGUUAGAAUCUUACCUGAAAAAAUCUGAACUUCAAACUCUAAACCUCUAACCCUUGAGCCCUACGAUCUCCAAUUAUCUAAUUCUGGUUUAUAGAGUUUUCUGAAUAAAGAAGACAAAAGGAAAAUGUAAUUUAUACCUAGGAUUUUUAAUUGUAAAAGAACUCUUUCACCCUUAAUGAAUUUAAUUAAUUACUUAAUUACUUUAUAAAUUACUAUUUUUCCCCUAGAUUAAAUUUUGGGGUGUUACACGAUUUCUUUUCUAAUCUCAUAUUUCAAGAAACUUAACAGAUAGAAUUAAAUAGGCUAGAAAAUGGAUGCUUGCUCCAAUCCAAGACAAAUUCUCAUAUUGUGCAUGGCUGCUUUGUGACAAAACUCAGGAGCCUUCACUGCUUGUCACCCCAAUGGAUUAUUCCUUUAAUUUACAGUUUGUUGCUUGACUACAGGUUAAGGUGAGGGGUCGUCCCUUAUAUAUUGUUGGUCCUUGGUUCUUCUAUUGCUUCCCUUAUCCAUCAAUCUAUCUAUACAACUAUCUAUCUAUCUAUCUACAAAUAUAUAUAUAUAUAUAUAUAUAUAGAGAGAGAGAGAGAGAGAGAGAGAGAGAGGAAGAGCAAAAUCUUUUUCUUUGUUCAUAUCAGCAAAGCUUGCAGCUACUUUCCUAGAGAGUUUGACAAAAUAUUGGGAUACCAUAGAAGAAACAAAGGCAAAAACUAUGUUAAUUUUGGUGAUCAAAUGACUGGUAGCCGAUGAUACGAUUGACUGAGAAAACCAUGGCAUAUGUUAUCAUCAAACACUAUGGAAAAGGAGAAGGGAUAAUUUGGGAGUGUAAAUAAUCCACACACUUGAGAAUUACAUAUUUCAAAUUUUUCUUUGAAAUUUAGCUUUAAAAUAUGUUAUUCUCAAGUGCAAAGUGUAAAACUAGUAUUUAUAAGCUAGAUUGUCUAUUGCUGAAACUAAAUUAUGAUAUAUUUAUUUCAUUUUGUGAUUCUCCUAUGGACUUUCUUAUUAUUUUAGGGUAGAAAAAUAUUUUUCUUUUCUUACAAUAGGAGGUCAAGUUUAACUAUGUACAUGAUUUAAUAUAGUGAAUGAAGAUAAAUUCUUUCUUUCAAGGUAGUGUUUUUUUUUUUACUUAAUUCUAAAUAAAAUUUAAAAUUAAACAGUACUUAAUACUUAACAAUAUGAAAUUAUUUGUUAUUUUUUAAUAUAUUCUAUUAAAUAUUAAGAAGUAAGAAAAAAAAAAACCAAUACUCACUUUAGUUAUGGUAAUUCACUUUUAGCAUUGAGAAAAUACCAAAUAUUUAUUUUUUUCAUUUAAUAAAAAAAAUUAAGAAAUAAUUAAUAAAUCAAAAAAAAAUUAAAAAAAUAUAUCAUUUGAAAUUUGCAAAUGAGUUACUUUCAACAAAAAUUAAAAAAAACAAACAUCUCCUUAGUUUAUGGAAAGGUCAUGAAUUUGAAUCUUAUUACAGUUCAAUACUCUUGUAUAUUUAUUUAGAAGGUGUAUUGAGUGUUGGAUGUUAUCAGGCUUUAAAUUUUAGCUCAAUAUGUUUUUUAUAUAUAAUUAAACCAUUACGGAUGGUUUAAUUUUUUUAAUAAAUUGCACAAGUACAAGCAAUUAGUGACUUAAACAUAAUUUGUUCUCUUCAGAUGUUAUAAUGGUGUUGCAAUCUAAUUUGUGCGUAAUCAUUCCCUAGUUUCUAACUAUAAAAUUUUCUUCGAUUGUGCAAGAGGAUGAGGAACAGAAUUUGUGUAAGGUGAGGUUAAGCAAAAUUUCCCAUUAGUUUAUUGGACAUUCCAAGAUGAUUUUCAUCACUUUCCUCUUGUUUAUGAUCAACAUGGCCCUACACAAUUAAAAAGUAAAUAGUCAUUGGAUAAAAUAUAAAAAAAAAUUACUAAUAAAAAGCUAAGUGUUCGUGUGGAUAUACUUCCUAUUUUCUAUUUUUAAAAACCAAAAAAUAAUAUUAUUAUUUUCAAAGUGUUCUUGUGAAUAAUGUUUCUAAGAAAAGUUUAAUGCACUAAUAUAUUAUUGAUGUAAAAAAAAAUUGUAUUACAAAUAUUUCGCACAAAAAUCAGUUCAAAUAAAUAUGUAUAUGUAUUUUAUUUGGCUUGUUAAGUAAUUUGUGGACAUGACCUAAGUUAUGAAUCAUAUAAGUCAUUCCUUGAUCAAUAUGGAAUAUAUUACUCGUCUUGAUAUCCUUUCUAAUAUUCUUUAUAUCAUCUCUCAUUUUUCAUAUCACUUUUCAUAUAUGAUCUCUCACAUUUUUUGUAUUUAUUCUCACAUUUUAUUUAUACUCAUUCUUAUAUUCUUUAUACUCUCUCACACAUUUCAUAUACCUAUUUUUAUAUUCUUUGUACCUCUUCUUACUUUUUUCACACCUUUUAUUAUAAGAUUCAACCAUCUCUCACAUUCUUCAUAUUUUGUCUUAUAUUCUUUGUAAAUCAUCUCAUCACAGUCUUAAUUUUUAUUUUCAUAUUUUUUGUACGUUCUUUCACAUUCUUUACACGCUUACAAAAACUAUUAAUGGUUGCAUAUUCAAAUAUUAUUUGACAUCAAAUUUUGACUUAUUGAAUUUAUAUUUAUAUUUAUAUAUAUAUAAAAAAUUAGAGUCGAAACCACUUAGAUUCUUUCUUUCAAUAUCUUCAUAAAGAAACACAAAUCUCUGAUUUCUAUAUUUUCUUCAAGAGAUACAAAAUUUGAUCUUAAAAUUUAAUGGAUAAAUUUUUAUACAUAUAUAAAAAAGGUGUUUUGAAUUUUAUAGAGAGAGAAUUUCUCACUUUGUCCAAGAAACUCACUACCAUUGUGGAGACAUUUAAUUUGUUUGUUUAUGUUGACUCUUUGUGUUACAAGUCUUUCCGAAAGAGCCUACCAGUAUUCCUCUUAGAAAAAGGGUGGAGCAGUCCAUUGUCUCCCAUAGAGAAAAACAAAAACAAAGAGGAACUGAUGGUAUUGGGUGGUCAAUAUAUGGAGGCCACUGAAAGUUGGCUUUCAGAGGAAAGUAUAUACUUUAUAUACAUACAUAGGGAGGAAAGGAGACAAGAGGUCAAGGGGGAAUGUUCUUAGAAAGAGAAGAUGAAGGUGGUGAGCGUGAACUGGGUAGGAAAUUAAGAAUUUUAAAUGAAGAGGACGGAGAAAAUGAUCAAGGAAAGACUUGGUUUUACUUGUUAGUACCCAGAUUUCCUUGCCAUUGUGAGUUUGUUUCCAAGGCCGCCUCCACCUCAGUCCUUUGCUGUUCGCGGCCAGCUUCAUCUUGGCAGUAUGAAAUGGCUAUUGGGUUUCGUCGGCGGGGGCAUGGUCGCCUACAGCUUCUUGUAAGAACAAUGAAAAUUCGAUCAACUCUGCAAUAUCAUCUCCCCUUUUGUUAUCCUCCUGAAAUGACUGUUAUUAAAUAUUUAUGCGUUAAUAAUUUCAGUUAUUGUUUCCUUUUAUUCAUCAUCCUCCAGCAUUAUGUUAGAUAUUUUGUUUUUCUUCCCACAUUGGUUUAGUUUCUAUAUGCUUGUUCGGAUUGAAAACAAAAUCCACAUCUCUUGAUAAUUCUUAAGAUAUGUUUCUGUUGCUUUCCCCACAGAAAAAUGCUGCAUGAAUACUUUACAAGGAAGGAAAGGGAGGAGGUGUGGAGGAUGAUGGCAGAGGGUAGAAAUGAAGAAGCUAAGGAGAUGCAGCAUAGAAACUCUCCGUUGAAGAUGAACGACACAAUAAAUUGGGCGGAGGUACACGACACACGAGAUUUGGUGAAGAUGGUCUUGUCGAGGGUCAUAGAGAAACUCUAUGUUGUGCGGAUUCAAGAACCGGCAGUUUUGGUUGGAGUUGAAGAAGAUGUCCAGUGGAUCCAAAGGAAGUUGAUGCGUGUUCGGGUUAAACCUAAAUAUUCCCCUGAGGAAUUAAUGGACGUUGCCUAUGAUUUGGAAGAUGUGAUUGAUGACCUUAUACUCAGGUCAGCCGGAAAGCAAAGGAGGAUAGGAAAUUGGGAGAGUUGCCUUUUGAUAAUCAGAAUUCAUAAGAAGCUGGAAUUGAUAAAGUCUAAGAUCCCUGCUCUUCCUCGUCUCCCGAUCAUAAUAGCAGCAGGUGCCAACCAUGAUAGCUACUUUGAAGAAAUGGUCUGGUCAGACAUCUUCCUAUCACACGAUCGGAAUGUUGCAAACACAAUUGUUUGCCCAGUGGAACAGAAGGUAACAGCUCUGCUAGCUCAGGAGGUAAUUCAUCCCCAUACUAAGAAGAAAGUCAUGCGGGUGCUAGACAAAUUCAGGUCUCUGAAUGAUUUUCUGACAGGCUUACAAUCAGUGGAAUUAGACGCUUGCGAUAUGGUUUGGAUGGAGGAGUUGUCCCAUUUUGCCCUGUCUGCUGUGACUGCCAUUGAGGACUUCAUCAAUAAAAAAGAACAGUUCACAAAAAGAAGUUGGAUGAGACCUUCCAGGGGAUUUCUUUUUGCUUUCGGCAAAUUGAAAUAUGAGGAUAAGCUUGCUGUGGAGAUGGACAAAAUAUAUGCUAAGAUCCAGAACCUCUCUAUGCACAGGCCAACAGAAUUGAGUAGACAAAGUCAAAGUAGAGACACAGAGUCCACCGUGCGAAUCUCACCACAGCCAACGACGCAAGAACCUAAUCUCGCCAGCUUCACUGAUGAUGUACAUGCAAUGGUAAAACGGUUGCUUACAGAUGACAAGAGUUUCAGAGUGAUUCCAAUUAUGGGUAUGGAAGGCAUUGGAAAGACGACCCUUGCAAAGUUGAUCUUUAACAAUAAAGAUGUUCUAAACCAUUUUCCUUUUGGUGUUUUGACGUCUGCUGGCUAUGAAUUUCACCUACGUGACAAGGAGAAAUUGAUGGACUCCAACCUAAGUCAACUAGGAGAUGUGUGGAAUUAUCAUGUUGAGUUACAGAGGCUGAAAGCUUUCUUAAUUGAUAAAAGGUCUCUAAUAGUUCUGGAUGAUAUUCGUAUCCCAUUCUUAGACCAUGUGUUAAGAAUACUUGCAGAAUCAUCAAACGGAAGUAGAAUGAUUUUGACUACUCACAAAAUCAGUUUACCACCAAAUUUCCGAACGAUGAGUGAUCCUCACAUACUGCGAUUACGAGGAGAUGAGGAGAGUUGGGCAUUGUUUACCCAUGCUUUGAAAAAGAGCAUACCCCCGGAAUUGCUAAAGCUGAAAGACAAAAUCGUAAGAAGAUGUGGGGGUCUGCCACUGCUGAUUGUAAAAUUGGCAGAAGCACCCUCACACAAGGAUGCAACCAUUGAAGAGUGGUCCACUGUACUUCAACAGUUUCAUCAUGACCAACAGCAACUUUGGUCCAACACCCUCUAUAAGAUCCAUAAGGAUUUGUCCUUGUACAUGAGGAGAUGUCUAUUUUAUUUCACUUUAUUUCCUAAGGAUUUUGAUAUUCCAGCAAGAAGAUUGAUGGCACUGUGGGUUGCAGAGGAUUUGGUCCAGCCAGAGGGCGAGAAUGAAACUCCAGAAGACGUUGCAGAGAGGUGUCUGAAUAUGUUGAUAGCCCAGGGAAUAGUUCAAGUGACAAAGAAGAAGCUUAAUGGGAAUGUUAAAAUGGUGCCAUUGCCAGAUGCCCUAAGACAAUAUUGGUUAUCCAAAACGCAACAAGCCACAUUUCUUGGAAUUCAUACUGACACAAGAUCUGAGUUGUCCCUAGGCACCAGCAGGAUCCGUCGUCUUGUUGAUCAUCUUGACAAAGAAGAUGUAAGCUUUGAUCAUAUUCAUAGUGAUUACAACACAACUUCUACUUCUUUGGCACCUUACUAUGAAGAUGUGCUUUCUUUUAUGUCCUUUGAUACUCGAAAAGAAAGCCAACCAGGAGAAGACUUGGGAAACUUUCUUCAUCAAAGCAUAUCCAGUGGUUGCUUCCUAGUACUGCUCGUGCUUGAUCUUGAAAAUGUAUUCAGACCGAAGUUACCUGAGGCAAUUGGCAAACUAACUCGACUAAGGUACUUUGGCUUAAGAUCUACAUUUCUCGAGAUACUCCCAUCAUCUAUAAGCAAGUUGCAGAAUGUUCAAACACUGGACAUGAAGCAUACUAGCAUCAACACUCUGCC